Molecule: long non-coding RNA, 76644 nt
Filed under: Malus domestica (apple)
Lineage: Eukaryota; Viridiplantae; Streptophyta; Magnoliopsida; Rosales; Rosaceae
Description: long non-coding RNA (MDOM_LNC016524)
Source: RNAcentral
GUGGCUUGACAGGGCGAGUUGGGGGCUUCUUCCCAGUACCAGUUGGGGGUUUUAGUUUCCGAGGUGGCUUGUGAUCUGAGUCUCUUCCCCCCUCCACCACAUUCUCUUCAAGAUGACGAUCAUGAUGAGGUGGCUCAUCUCCCUUACCCUUCGGUGGCUUAUCUCCCUUACCCUUUGGAGGCUGCUCAACUGGCUUUGGUUUUGGGUCGUGUUCAGGGAAUGGCUUGUGAUCUCCAUCGUCAUUACGUUCAAGUGGGGUUGGUGGCUUCCCUUUUGGAGGUGGCUUUGGCUUCUUUCCCUUAGGAGGCAAUUUCCCAUCCAAUGACUCUGCCUCUAAUAAACGACGUCCGGUGUUUUGUUCAUUGUGAGGUGGCUUGUGCUCCGGUGGUGGCUUCUUACCCUUGGGAGGUUCAUCAUGACCUGGGGUUCCCUUGUUCUUCGGUGGUGGCUUUUCUCCUUUUUGGGAUUCCUGUUCACCUGGGUGUCCUGGUUUGUGCUCGGGUGGUGGCUUCUCUCCUUUCUUCGGUGGCUCGUCACCCGGGUGUCCGAUACCUGGGGUAUGUCCUGGUGGUCCUCUCUUCGGUGGCUCAUCACCUGGCUGUCCUGGUUUGUGCUCUGGUGGCGGCUUCUCAAACCCUGGAUCCUCAGUGUGCUCUUGGGGUGGCUUUUGUCCCUUCGGGGGCUCAUUGUGCCCUUGUGGUGGCUUUUGUCCCUUUGGAGGCUGAUUGUGCUCUUGAGGUGGCUUUUGUCCCUCGGGAAUUUUGCCUUCCACCUCUAGCAAGUGGUGUUCAUUGUGCGGUGGCUUGUGCUUGGGUGGAGGCCUCUCUCCUUUGCCCUUGAGGGGCUCGUUAUGUUGGGUUGGGGGCUUCUUCUCUGGGAAUGGGAAAGGCUCUUCCUUGUUAAGUGGGGUUGGAGUCUUGUGAUUUGGUGGGUUGUGGGAAGGAGGCUUUUGAAUUGGGGGUUUCAGGGCAAGAGAAGGAGUUGAAGUGGUGAAAACCACCACUCCGACAAGAAAAACUAGCAAGUAAUUGGGAGACAUCUUUAGACUCUUAUGUUCUAGGAUGGUUGGAAACUAGUAGAAGUGAGUGGCUUUUUAUAGUGAUGGGGCAGCACUGUGGUCAUGGCACAUGUCACCAUGCACUUGGAUUUUUUUUUAAUGAAAUGUGUGGACUCGUUGAAUUUUGUAUGGUUUGGUUUUUAUUAUGUUUGUACAAUUUUAUAUAUGAGGAGGGGUCCAUUUAGGGUCCUAUUUGAGUUGAAAUGUUUGACAACUUUUACGUUCAAACCAGAUAGGGGACCUGUAGGAAAGCUAAAUUACACGACUUAGCGUUCACAACCCACAUGGAGUCAGUGACCUGGUACUCUAGCAUCACUGAUCGAUAUUAUAUUAGAGUUUUAACUUUAGAAAGAACAAGACAAAUGGAAAAUAUAGCAACUUGCUUUUGAAAGUUUUUCUUUUAAACAAGUUGGAGAGAUUUUUACCAUCACACGGGAUAGUACACCACGUGUCGUUAUAUAAACGGUGAGCUAAGUGUGUUAAAAAGUUAAUAACUUUAAAAAAAAAUAUUCCACCACUUACAUAAAAUCACAUGAUAUAUCAUUCGUGUUCUUGUCAUAUCUAAAAAUUUCUCUACAAGUUAGAGAAAACAAUGUUACUUUCUUUUCGAAAUAAGUUCGAACUAAAUGGCCGUCUAUAUUCCUGCAUAUAGCCGACUGUAUAUGCACAAAUACUUUUCAAGUUUUCUCUUCCAUAAACUAGAAAUAUUGACUCAAAUAUUUUACGUUAAUGCUAUAAAAAUAUUGAGCUAAUGAUUUAGUAAAACAAACAAUCCUUUGUAAAGUUAUUCACAUACAAAUUAUAUAUUAGUCCAUCGAAUUGCAGUAUAUAUCUCGAAUAUAAAAGAGAUUCACUUCAGCAAAUUUAGAGACUUAUACCAUGUUAACAGACUAUAGCGUAGACCAAAUUGUUGUAAGAAAUGGUACUCUUUCUUUUUGUUCUAUUCCAACGAUAUAUAUGAUUUUACUUAAUCUAAAUGACAGAGACGUGGACUCGAGUGUGAAACACAAAACAUAUUCUUCCUUUUUCAAGCCGAAGCUCAUUGAUUGGAUGAUAAUUAGUGCCGCCUUCAAUUGUUUAAAGACACGGUUUAUCAAGCUGUGACAAGAUUGAGUGUGGCUUUUGGUUCUUUUUCACGUAGUGAUUCAUGAUGCUGUCUUAUUAUAUGCUAUCCAACAUUUAGCGGCUCCCAUAAUCACUUUAAGGAAAUAAAUUAUGGAAACUAAAUUCACUUUUGGAAAAAGCUAGCAUGAUAAAUUAAUUGGAUAAAUUCAUCAGUCCACAGAUUUUGCUUGUUUCUACGAAGAUCUUCUGUAUUCGGUGGAAAGAUGGACGAUAUUUUACCGACUAUAUAUUUUAUUUGUUUUAAGUUUUCUUGUUAAUUACUACUAAUCCCUAUAUCAGCGAGCCCGCAAUGGUCUUUCUCCUUUUCGCACUUAGGAUGACGACCUGUAUUUAAUGUUGAUAUAAACGACACUAAAUCGUAAGUUGUUUUGGUGCAUAGUUUAUGUUGCUAGAAAGCAGCUAUCUAGUUAAAGCAGAGGCUGGCAUGAUUUCACGUAAACGACAUUAAUCACUUUCAAGAACCGGUGUCAAGAUUAUAAGAGUUGAGUGUAUCUGUGGUACUUAAGUGUUUUACAAGUUUUGUCAAGAGCAUUGAAAUCUUUUCCUUUCUGUUAUGUGAAUUGCGAAUGAUUGAAGAGAGAAAAUCUUAGUACCCAUUUAAAUGGAGGAAUUCCAAAUCUAUGGAUUUUUUGAUAAAAUUAUAAGAUUAAUUAAAUUGGUUGUUUCAACUAUUACAAUCAUUAUAUGCAACUAUUUGAACAAGUGAAGAAAGAAAACAAGUGAGUUUUAAAUAAUUCCUUGCAUAUUGUUAUUUCAAAUUCAUUUAAACGUACUACUUUGUGUAUAGAUGUAAUCUUAUUUGUCAAUUCCAAAACGUUUCUUUUAACUUCUUCCAUGCAAAGAGAGAGCAUUUUGAUACUCCUCUUCCAUUCUUAAAGGGUUUCCACAACUCGAAGCCUCUGGGCCAGUCAAAAAAUGCAGAGAAGUUAAAAGUCAAAUGGUACAUGUAUCUUCCGUGAUAUAGAUGCAACAUGAACGAAUUUUCCUUUUGUUUGUUUUCGGGUUUAUAUGGGUGCGUUUGCAUGUGCAUGCAUAUAUAUGUUGUCGGUGUAGUGACAUUGUGUGAAAACAUGAAAGCAGUUGUAUGAGUCAUGUGGCUGCUUUUGCUACAGGAUCUGAAGAAAAUUCUCAGAGUCACCUCGCCAUGUAAGGUUACUAAUUUAUUUAUGCUAUAACAUUUAUGUCCUUAUUCAAAAUUAUAUUCUCUAGGUCCCUAAUAUUCAUCAAUUAUGUUAUUCAUGUAGAUGGUUUAGUAGCACAUUGGGAUAGUGUCACACUAGGGUUUCGUAGCACAUUGGGAUAGUGUCACACUCUGGUUUAGUAGCACAUUGGGAUAGCGUCACACUAGGGUUUAGUAGCACAAUGUUAUUCACAUAGAUGGUUUAGUAGCACAAUGGGAUAGUGCCACACCACAAAGUUCAUGAUGAAGAGAUUUUUUAUUUGUCGCCGCUUCACCUAGAGGUCACAAAUCAACUUAUUGGUUAUUAAUAGAUACUUAUUAAGACUCAUUUAGUUUAAUUUCAUCUUACAUUAUCGUCACCACUACCAAUUUCAUCUCUAUAUUAUAGUGAUAUCAAAUUAAACAGCUCUUAAAGGGUACCCGUUAACAAUCUAAUGGAUUGAUUAGCCGCAUCUAACUUCACCAAGUAGCUAGAGUUAUCAUAACUUACAACUAUAACACAUGCAUACUUAUUUAUUAAGGAAAACUAAUGAAAAUGACUUGAAAACUUUAAGUUUUAAUCAAAAUGACAAAAAUGUGUUGUAAGUGAAUAGUACCAUAAGUGACUUUUUAAAGUAAAAUAUUAUUUUAGUUAAAAGCGAAUAGUACCGAAAGUGUUUCAUUAAAACUCUCUAUUUAUUAUAUUAAUCUUAAGUUCCAAAUUAAUCAUUUAUCAUGUUAUUUAUACAGCCUACAAAAUUACAUGAAUUAGUAACAUAGUCACAAUACAAAGUUUCUGAAGAUUCUCUUGGGCAAUUUUGUACCUAGCCUUUCAACGUGUGGGACAUCCUGUUGACUCUUUGUAUAACUACCCUAGUCAGUGAGACGAAGCCAGAUUUUUAUGCAUUUCACAACAUAAAGCAUAACAUAGUAUCAAGGCAUGCAUGUGGACACAAUUAAGUAUUCCGUUAUAUUUUGCAGGAGGUUUUGUACUGGUCCUCGCAUACAUGUUCACGAGCUGUAUAUAAAGUCGACAUUAUGAUGAGAUCCCUGGUUGAUCUCUGCGGCUCCGCUGACAUGUUCUUCACAGCUUAGGGUAUUGACAAAGAUAAAAUAUAGUUGCUUUUUCUUUAUUUUUAUACAAGAGCUAGUGUGGUGAAAUUGAACUCUAGCACAUCCGGUUCACAUGAAAUAUUUUUAACCAAAUAAGCUAUGUGUUUAUACCAUAUUUAGGACCUCGUACUUAGAUCUCGUACAAAUACUCGGAGAACUUAAAUGUAAUUAUGUGAUAAAGGAAUGGGCAAAUAUGUAAAAAGUGAGGAGUCCUUAUUCUAUAAAACGACUUCUCACCCUCACAAUUAGGAGAGGCCAAUUCCUAGGCUCUCUCACCCCCUCUCAAAGCUCUCACUCUCAGAGCUCUCUCUCCCUCAGAAAUAUAUUAGUGUGGACGUAGCCCAAACCUUGGGGUGAACCACGAUAUACCUUGUGUUAUUUACAUUUCAUGUAGAUUCACUGUCGGAUUUACGUUGUUCCAAGACCUCCGGUUUUGUGCACCAACAUUUGGCGCCGUCUGUGGGAAACGACACAGAAAGUUAUGUCGGUUCUCUCUCAAUUUUUCACCUCCGCCAUGGAUCUGCAAAAUCUGCAGAAACAUCAAACCAAAAUCCCAGUCCCAUCUCUCUCUCUUUCUCUAGAAACCCAAAAAUGGGUAAGCAGAACAGACACAUACUCUAGCUCUCUCUCUCUCUCUCUCCUUUCUCCAUUAAAACCAUUCAACACACUCUCUCUCUACAUUUUUGGAAAGAGAAAGUGGACAAAGAUCGAAAUUUUUUCGGGUUUACUGAGAUGCUUCGUUCAGAACUACGACUGGGGGAAGAGGAGACAAGAUUCCCAAGUGGCCAGGCUAUCUGCUUUUAACUCUGGUUCUGGGAUCAACCCAGAAAAAUCAUGUGCUGAAUUUUGGAUCGGAACCCAUGGGUCCAGACCUUCCUUUCUGAUUCAUAAGGGCUCGCUCCAUCUCUCCAACUUCCCCUACCAGCUCAAACGACGUCGUCUAGCUCCACCAUUUCCCCUUCGUUAUCGUUUCCUCAUCCCACUCCUGGUCUCGCCGUGAGCUUAAGCUCCGCCCCUGGAGCUCCCCCGCCUCCACCCGCGUCUUCGCUUUCCUCAAUCGCACCCUCACAGAUUCCUCCGGCGACCAAUCCAUCGCGAAUGUCGUCGUCUCCGGUGACACCUCCCGCUUUCUGUACACUCUAAAAGGAGGGCUACGGUCCGCGUUCCUUGUGGCGCGCGCGAUCAAGGAAGCAGUUGAUCGUGGCGAGCCUGAUGAAAAAUAGCAAAAUACCAACAGAAAAAGCAGGAGAGAGAGAAAGAGAUAGAAGAGAAGGAUGAUCUGUCCAUAUGGUGGUGGGUGCAUUGUGGUUUGGUCCAGGAGAGAUUUGAUCUGAGGGUUGAAGAUAACCCAGCUUUGGCAGCUGCAGUGAGAGCAUGAGGUGUUGUUUGUGUCUUCAUCUGGGCUCCUGAGGAGGAAGGCCCUUAUUAUCCUGGAAGGGUUUCAAGAUGGUGGCUAAAACACAGCUUGGCUCAUCUUGAUUCCUCCUUGAAAAGUCUCGGCACUUUUCUCAUCACCAAAAGAUCCACUGAUAGUUUUUCUUCUCCCCUUGAAGUUGUUGUUUCCACUUCUCCCCCCUGAGAGAAUUAUUUCAGUUCAUGUUAACCAAUUAUUUCAUGUUAACCGAAGUGUGGAUCUUAAGGCCGGCAGAAUGCUCUCUUUGCUCUUGGAAAUUCCCAGAUUCUCUUCUUCUCAGACCAAAGGAAGGUGACUUUUUGCGGGUUAGGAACAAUUCCUUUUACUCAUGUGUUUUGAUGGGCACGAGGAGUGAGAAUGGAUGGGCACGACCAGACUGUCCAAGAAAAGCAAAAAAGGUGCAAGCUGUCACCAAUAAGUCAUAUUCGUUGGUUCAAGCAAGGCAAAAGCAACAAAGGUGCAGAGAUCAAGAAAAGCAGAAAAGCAGUGGGGAACAAAGCAGAAAAGAGAAAGCAAAAGUGAGGAAUAAACACCCCACCAAAAUAAUGUGAUUUACUUUUGUUAUUUCUGAAUGAUGUAAUUUAUUUUCCGUAUCUUUUGGAGAUAUCUGUAUAAACCCCAUCAGAAGGUAAAAGAACGGCAAAGCCCAAAAUAAAUGGGCUGGAAUAUUGUGUGGAGAGCGAAGGCCCAUAAGCCUAAAAUAGCACCAACCAGGUCAUCAAAAGUACACCCAGUACUCCACAAUUAUUCGGCAACCCGCCGCUAUUACCAUCAACCAGGUGAUCAAAAGUACGCCCAGUACUCCACAAUUAUUCGGCAACCCGUCGUUAUUAUCGCCAACCAGGUGAUGAAAUAUACAACCCGUACUCUAAUAUCAUUUGACAACUAGCCAUUCAUGCCACCAACCAGGUGAUGAAAUGUACAACCCGUACUCUAAUAUCAUUUGGCAACUAGCCAUUCAUGCCACUAACCAGGUGAUGAAAUGUACAACUCGUACUCUCCUUCAUGCCACCAACCAGGUGAUCAAAAGUACGCCCAGUACUUCAAAACAUACAUGAGCAUUACUCAUGUCAAUCAUACAUAAACAUUCAUGAGCAUUACUCAUGUCAAUCAUACAUAAACAUUCAUAAGCAUCACUCAUGUCAACAUCUAUGAGCAUCACUCAUGUCAAUCAACAUAAACAUUCAUGAGCAUCACUCAUGUCAAUCAACUUCAAAAGCUUCAUUUACAAAAGCUCUAGCUUCAAAAACUUCAUUUACAGAGCUCUAGCUUCAAAUUCAUUUACAAAAGCUCUAGCUUCAAAAGCUUCAUUUACAGAGCUCCAGCUUCAAAAUCUUCAUUUACAGAGCUCCAGCUUCAAAGCUUUACAUGCAAAGCUUCACCUACAAAGCUUCAGUGCAGGGUAUACAAAUACCACCUCCGAACAACCGCCACUUCGGCCCAUACAUGGAUUCAAUUUGAAGUCUCCAGCCAAUAGACUCUAUUGACCGAAGACUUGGGGGACUAAACUAUACACCAUAUAUUGGGCCUCAACUGGGCCUUAUGAAAAAUACUUGCAAGACUCUCUCACCAUCAUUAGAGAGCAUCAACUUUAGCAUAUUAUUCAUGUAUUGAGAAACGAGCCAUUAUUCUAUAAAAGGGACUCCCUCACCAUCAUUAGAGAACAUCAACUCUAACACAUUAUUCAUGUAUUGAGGAGCGAGCCCUUAUUCUAUAAAAAGGGCUCACUUACCAUCAUUAGAGAGCAUUGCUGCCUAUUGAGCAACCGCCUUGCCGCGAGCAUCAACUCUAGCCCAUCAUUCAUGUAUUGAGGAGCGAGCCCUUAUUCUAUAAAAGGGACUCCCUCACCUUCAAACGCCACAAAGCAGAGCCAACCAAGGUAACAUAAGCCACAAGCCAAGCAGCCUCGCAGCGUAUGCUACUUCUAGUUGAACAUCAUUUCAGAUUGAGCACCGCCUCAUAUCGAGCAUCAGUUCAAGACAACAUCUAGUUACUUCGGCCCACACAUGAACUGAAUUUCAAGUCUCCAGCCAAAAGACUAUCUUGACUGAAAACUUGGGGGACUACUGUUUAUACCAUAUUUAGGGCCUCGUAUUUAGAUCUCGUACAAAUACUCGGGGGACUUAAAUGUAAUUAUGUGAUAAAGGAAGGGGCAAAUAUGUAAUAAGUGAGGAGUCCUUAUUUUAUAAAAUGACCCCUUACCCUCACAAUUAGGAGAGGCCAAUUCCUAGGCUCUCUCACCCCCUCUCAAAGCUCUCACUCUCAGAGCUCUCUCUCCCUCAGAAAUAUAUCAGUGUGGACAUAGCCCAAACCUUAGGGUGAACCACGAUACACCUUGUGUUAUUUACAUUUCAUGCAGAUUCACGGUCGGAUUUACGUUGUUCCAAGACCUCCGGUUUUGUGCACCAACACUAUGAAUUUCUUAUAAUAUUAUUAUUAUAUAUUGUUAAAAUUUUAGAAAGGCGAGCCUAAUGGUUUAACACUAAUAUUGUUCCCAAGUUAAUAAUUUGUAGCUUAAGAGCUGUAAGAUUUUUUUCUAAAGACCUUGGCGUAUUUAGGAUAAAACUUUUUGUAUUUAAUUUGUAAUAUUUUGUCAAAUCUCCAAUGUGGGAUUUCCACGCUACCUGACAUGGAACCAUAUCUUCAGUCUGCCACACGUGAAGAGAACUUCCAUAUUGGGAAUGGAAAGACAAGCACGUGAAUGUUGAAUAUAAGUCCCACAUCGGAGAAUUAAUAUAUAAGUAUAUGAGUUCACUCCUAAUAAUAUAGAUGCCUUUGUGAUAAAACUCAACAGCCAGUAAUAGGUGAUUAAGUUAGGAUAAUAUUGGUGUGGUUAGGAGUGGGCCAGUGGCCAGUCUCCUUGAUGAUCGGACAUGGUACCAAAGCAGGUUUGAUUAUGAGUCAUCUGGGUGUCAUGCUUGAGUUAUUGUGCUUAAUGUAACACCAUUAAUCUCUGAUGUGGGAUCGGUUGCACUUGUGGCCCACUAUAUUUUGAUCACAUGGGAGGGGGCGUGUUGAAUAUAAGUCUCACAUCGGGAGAUUAAGUAAAUAAGGUAUAAUAAGUGUGUGAAUUCACUCUUAAAAACACCGAGGCCUUUUUUGAUAAACCUAAUACUUAGUAAUAGGUGAUGAAGAUGAGACAAUAUUGGUGUGGUUAGGGGUGGGCCUGUGGCCUGUUUCUCUGAUUAUUUGACAAUGAAUAUCACGCACUCAAAACAAACCAAUAAUGGGAUCCAGAAAAAGUACAAACUGUUGUAGGCCUAUUUGAUUGAACUAAUCUAAGGGAUUACAGAGAGAUGGGGUUGGCGGUAGCAAGAUGGAAGAGAGAGAUUUAAUUGUGAGGUGUGUGUUGUAUCACCCCUAUUGUGCCUUUAUUUAUAGUAGUAGGAUAGGCAAAACCUUACCCUUUUAGGAUUACAACUCUUAAUAGGUAAUCAACUCCUAAUAGGAAUAUAAGAGAUAUUUCUAGAUCUACUAGGGUUUACACAAUCACAUUCCUAUUCUAAAUAUGACUGCAACACUCCCCCUUGAAUGUGUAAAUACUCAACAAACCAUCGCAUUAGAUCUUCAGCAAAUAAGGUAGAAUAAUUGAUGAAGUAAUCGGCAUGAUGGGUGAACGCGAGUCUCAAAUUUAAAGAAAGUAUGCAUUGGUGGUAAAACUUAGAAAACCUCGCUAUGGUAAAACCUAAGACAUGGGGAAAACCCAUAGACUAAGGAGAAAAGUGAAAAGUAUGAAUAAUGUCCAAAACAAAUGUCAAACAGGACGAAAGUAGUGAACUCAAUGGAGUAUGAUCAUCCUAGGAUGGGUGCCUUGUCAAAAGUGCGUUAAGUAGCAAAAACGCAGUGGGAAAAAUGCUCCUAAUCAUAGGAAAAAGAGCACAUUAAGAUCAAGUGAGUAUGCCUCAGGAUACUCCCCCUGAGUUAGAAAUAACUUCCAAAUAAGAAAACUGCAAGCGAUUCAACUCAGAUAAUUUACGCAUACCGAUUCCUUGGACGAGCUUCUGAAAAGUAGACUUGGGCAAUGACUUGAUGAAGAGAUCGGUCAUGUUGUCUUGGGAACGUAUUUGCUUGACUGCAAUGUUUUGAUGUUGUUUCUGGUGAGAGUAAAAGAACUGCAACGCUAUGUGCUUGGUGUUGUCUCUCUUGAUGUAUCCCUUCUUUAACUACUUGAUACAUGUUGCAUUGUCUUCAAAGAUUGUCGUAGGAACGUCAACAACAAAAGUAAAACCACUACUGCUUCGAAUAUGUUCCAUAACUGCUCUCAGCGAAAAACACUCACACGAUGCUUCAUGCAGGGCGAGAAUCUCAGUAUGGUUCGAAGAAGUCGCAACUAGCGUUUGCUUGGUAGACCUCCAAGAUAUAGCGGUGUCUCCAAAGGUAGAGACAUAGCCCGUUUGACAACGUGCCCUAUGUGUGUCAGACAGAUAUCCAACAUCUACGUAACCAACAAGAAUAGAAUCAAUCCGAGAACCAUGAGAGGCGGCAACACUCAAAGAUUCACGGGUAUAGAACAAGCUCAAAUAUGUAGUACCCUUAAGGUAGCGAAAAAUGUCUUUAACACCAUUCCAGUGUCUGUGUGUGGGUGUAUUGUUGUAUCUAGCCAAAAUAUUAACAACGAAGGAGAUGUUGAGUCUAGUGCAUUGAGCUAAGUACAAUAGAGCCCCAAUUGCACUUAGGUAAGGAACUUCGGGUUCCCAAAUCUUUUCCUCAUCCUCCUUUGGAUGGAAGGGAUCUCAUUUAGCAUAAAGUUUGAAUGGCCAUAGACGUACUUGAAGACUUCGCUUUAUCCUCAUUAAAACGUCGCAACAAUUUUUGGGUGUAGUUCGAUUAAUGUACUAGGAUUCCAUCUGAACAAUGCUAGAUCUCCAGACCGAGGCAAUAUCAAGUUUUCCUAAGAUCUUUCAUCUCAAAUUAUGAUUUCAAGUGUGUAGCAAUUUCCUCAAGCUCUAUAGGAGUUCCAAAGAGGUUCAUGUUGUCAACAUAAACUACAACAAUUGCAAAUCCAGAAUGUGGCUUCUUUAUGAACACACAUAGGCAUAAUUCCUUGUUCACGUAACCCUGACUUGUCAAUUAUUCACUCAGACAGUUAUACCAUAUCCGCCCGGAUCGUUUCAAUCCGUAGAGUGACCUAUUCAACCUAAUUAAGAGAGUGUUUCUUGGUCUAUAACUAUUUGAACCAAUCCAUGGAAGUCCUUCUGGAACUUUCAUGUAUAUUUUCUUAUCUAGAUCCCCAUAGAGAUAUGCAAUUACCACAUCCAUAAGCUGCAUAUUCAAUUUUUUGGAAACUACCAAAUUUAUAAAGUAGCAGAACGUUAUAACAUCCAUUAUGGGGGAAUAAGUCUCCUCGUAAUCAAUCCCAAGGCAUUGAGAGAAGCCUUAUGCUACAAGGCGUGCUUUGUAUUGCACUAUUUCAUUAUUCUCAUUACGCUUCCUCACGAAAACCCACUUGUAGCCAAGGGGCUUCACAUGUGGUGGUGUAGGAACGAUAGGCCAAAAUACUUUACGUUUCGCGAGCGAAUUGAGUUCGACCUGGAUUGCUUGUUUCCAGUUUGACCAAUCUGUUCUACGUUGGUAAUCAUCAACGGAACGUGGUUCAAUGUCAUCGCUAAGCAUGAUGUCAGUAGUUACUGCGUACGCAAGUGCAUCGUCAACAAUCAUCUCAUUCUGAUUUCAAACCUCAUCCAAUACUGCGUAGUGAACCAAAAUCUCAUGAUUCUCGAGAAGCCGGGUUGUCUCGUCUAAGACAUUGUCGUAAUUUAGAAUAACCUUAUGCGUUGGAACGGAUGAGUAAGCAACGGUCGGAUUCAAACUAGGGUCACUAGUUGGUGCCGUUUUCCUCUUCCAGGGUUGUGAAUUCUUUAAACCAAAGGGUCUGCCACACUUCAGGGUUGAAGCAGAUGAUUAGCUAGCCACCAAUUUACAGUGCCACGUGGAAAGUGCGGCCUCCCCACCUUCGAGGACGAUCCAACCUUCCCAGCCGGUUGUUGACGUACGCGAGGUACAUCUAUCCUUGCAGGUGCGUUUGCAACGGGUAUAUGUGAUCUUGUCACCUUAGCUAGAUCAUUAAAACAAAUGGCAUGCUCUAAGCAAUGCUCUGAAGAUCUAUAAUUUGUUGCACCUCAGUUUCAGACUGGGCAGUGCAAGGAUCUAAAUGAGACAUAGUGGGAGCAUACCAUGACAAUUCGCGGUGUUCUCUAGGAACGUUAGCAUGCUUAUCUCCCCUUAACGACGGGAAGACUGUCUCACAAAAGUGACAAUUCACAAAACGUACGGUAAAGAGGUGUCAUGUCAAGGGUUCUAAAUAGCGAACAAUUGAUUGCGAAUCAUAACCAACAUAGAUUCCCAUUUUUCUCUGAGGACCCAUUUUGGUACAUAGUGGCGGCUCUAAUGGCACAUAAAUUGUGAACUCAAACACCCAUAAAUGCGAGAUGUCGUGCUCGUAACCAACUGUAACGGUGAAUGAUCUUGGGUAGCAUUGGACCUCAGGCAGGCCAAUAUAGCUGCGUGCAAUAUUGCAUAACCCUAGGUAGAUACCGGCAAUUUGGUUCUCAUAACCAAAGUCUGAGCUAUCAAUUGAAUGCGCUUUAUGAAACCUUCUGCCAGGCCUUUUUGAGUGUGAACAUUGGGUACAAGAGGUUCCACAUCAAUCCCUACUAACAUGUAAUAAUCAUCAAAAGUCUGUGACGUAAACUCUCCAGCGUUAUCCAGUCGAAUCGACUUAAUCGGAUAAUCAGGGUGGUGAGCCCUUUACUUAAUAAUUUGUGCUAGGAGUUUAGCAAAUGCAACGUUGCUUGUAAACAACAGGCAAACAUGUGACCAUCGUGUCGAUGCAUCAACCAACACCAUAAAGUAUCUAAAUGGUCCACAUGUUAGUUGGAUAGGUCCACAAAUAUCCCCUUGAAUCCUCUGAAGAAAUUUGGGGGGGGGGGGUCUUGAAUGAUCCUUUGUAAUCAAGAGUUGAGUAUUCAACUUCCAUAAAGACCACGCUUUGCAUGGCAGGAAUCCAAUAUAAGGAGGUAACCGAUGCUAAUGUGAUGAUUUAAGGAUAUGGCGCAUCAUGUCACGUUCGGGAUGUCCCAAAUGGUCAUGCCAAAACAGUAUAGUGCUCUGGAAGUAAGGCAUAGGGCUGGCCACAUGAUAGGCUUCUAUGCUGCGAAUGGUUGUGAUGUACAACCCACUCGGGAGACAUUCCAACUUUUCGUGAAUACUCUUCUGGCCAUAUUUGUACGAAGUAAUACAAAGAAAUUCAGAACCAUUAUCUUCAGUGGUUUCAAUAUGAUAUUGAUUAUCUCGAAUAUCUCUAAAACUCAUAAACGUUCUUCCGGAACGUGGAGAAUAGAAUGCCUCUUUAAUGGUUAAGAUUGUACCAUUGGACAACAUGAUACAUGCCUUUCUGCAUCCUUCAAUCAUGUUGGAUGGACCUGAAAAAGUUGUCAGAGGUGCUUUCUUGGGUAUUAAGUUAGUAAAAUAACGUCGCUCACGCAAGAUUGUGUGCAUGGUAGCACUAUCAACUAGACAACUAACUUCCCCACUAGACAUACCUAGAAAUAAAUUGAUUGAAUUGGUCACAUGCAUAAAUAUAAUCCAUUCAUUCAAUUAAGAAAUUCGAGAAAUAAUAUCCAUCAAAUAACAAUCCAUAAUUCAAAACAAACCAAAACCAAAACCAAACAAAUUAUUCAAAAGACUUAGAAAAAUUGUUCAAAAUUAAAUCAUAAACCUAAAAAAAUAGGGGAGAGGGGCCGGCCACUCCUAGUGGGUUCAGCCACUAGGGGUAAACACUUUAAAAACAUGUCUAAUGUAUUCGUCCAUAGGCAUGACCGCCUCAUGAAAAUCCGAUAUCUCCAUUGAUGUAGUAGCAUCUUCCGGAUGUUCCACAUAUGCAAAGUUAGACUCACAACGGAAAUGAUACUUAGCAAUAGCCUCAGGGUUAGCUCGGCAUACACGUGACCAAUGAUCAUUUGAUCCACAACGAUAACACAUAUCCAUUUCAGUAGAAGUCGAUUGAGCAGGAGUUUUUCCCUUGUUUUUGAAGUUCAGGGUUUUAGGCACAAGGGGUGAACGCUGCAGGGUCACAUUUCAUCCCUUGGGGCUGGCACUAUAUUGACCUUGGGCCCGUGGUUGGGCUUGAUGCCCAUUGCCACAGCCACAAUAGCUUUUUUGUCGUUUGUGGCUGCUAAGGUUCGAGUCAGUUGGUCGAGCUUGAUGAUUCUUCAUCAAAAGAUGGUUCUGCUUUUUAGCGAGAAAUAGUACAGAGAUCAAAUCUGAAAAUUUGGUGAAUUUAUGUGCCCUAUAUUGUUGUUGUAGACAAUAUUGGUGGCAUGGAAGGUCGAAUAUGUCUUUUCCAGGAGAUCUGAUUUGGUUGGUUCCACUUUACAAAAUUUCAGCAAUGAUCGGAUUCUACAAACUUCAGAGUUGUAUUCAUUCACGAACUUAAAGUCUUAGAAGAGAAGAUGCUGCCAAUCGUGUCUUGCUUCAUGCAAGUAUAUGUCUUUCUGGUGAUCGAAACGGUAGACCAAAGCAAGCCAGAUGGUGCGUGAGUCCUCCUCAGCGAGGUACUUGGUCUGCAGAGCAUCAUGGAGUGUCUUCGAAUGAAGAUCAUCACAGUAGCUUUCUCAGCUUCGUCGACAUGUUUGCUGUCGGUAAGUGCCUCGAUGGUGGCUCUAAUGCCUUUUUGCAGUGAGAUGAAGCUUCACUUCUUAAAUCCACUUCGAGUAGUUUCUUCCACAGACUUCCAGAGCGAUGAAAUCGAGCUUAUUCAAGUUCGACAUGCCCCUAAAACAGAGGGUACAAAAAAAACGUGAUUAGUCAUAUGGUGAUCCAUAGACAUAUAUCAUAGAAUAUUUCAGGUUUUAGAGACAUGUAUUGGUUUAAUUUAUGCAUGAAAACUGCAGGUUUCAUGUGGUAAGUUUUGAAUGAAAACUUUAGGUUUCAAAGGCACUAAAUAUGAAACUACAGGUUCAAUUUAGUUUUAUGAACGAUUAGUUCAUAAAGGAAAGGUUCCUGCAAGAAACACAAAAUGCAAUAUUCUGAUUUAAGUGUAGUGGAUUUGAGGUUCUUUGGGAACUCAAGUGUGAAAGCUUUGUUACUACAAAAAUGUGUCAACGGUUCAAAGUAUAUAAAAAUAAAUUAUUGAAUCGUUAAUGUCCAAAAGUGAUCUUCAGGUCAAUAAUUUUGGAUUCAUUAUCGUAUUUAAUGGACUGCAAGUCACUUUUAAUUAAUUACCUAAAUCGGGACCAAAUAUGGUCGAUCAUGGAAGCAAGAUAAUAUAGGGGAGAGGCCCUGAAGGUUCGGCUGCUACAUAUGGGGCUCAGGCCGAGAGGGUGUAGGGAGCCCAGCAACCAAGGCUAUUGGCUUUGGGUUGAAAUUGGGACAUGGGGCAGGCCUAGCAAAAGCUAGCCUUUAAGUUGAUCCAGGUAAGCCCAACAAAGUUGGGUUUCAUGUUUUGGGUUCGGUGUAAAUUAAGCCCAGCAACAUAGGGCUACUGGCAAGCAGGCCGAGACUAGGAUAAAGCCCAGUGAGCAUAUGGGCUGCUUCAGGCGAGUCAGGUCAUAGGCAACAAAGGAGCCCAACAACUCUGGGUUGUUGGGCCAAAGGACUCAGACAACAGGCCAAGAAAAAGUCUACAGGUUUUCUUGGUUGGGCUUAGGGAUUGCAUGCUCUAUAAAACUGAGUAGGCCGAAAGCCUGGGGUCCAGGUUAGCACAACAAAGCCCAAAGGGCUACUACCGCGAUGUCCAAGGUGUUAAACGACACUGUGCCAUGUCAUACUCCACACUGUUGUGCUUCAGGUCAGCGGUGGUGGCUCAGCGGAGCCACGGUGGUGGUACGGCAGUUGAGCCGCAUGGUUCCCAAUAAUUUUUAAAUUUUUUUUUUAACAUCCCUAAGGUUUGAAAAACCCUAAAUUGCUUCUAAUUUAUUAAUAUGCUUUGACUCACAAUUCCACAUAGCAAUUUAAUUGUGUAAUGCAUGAAACAAAUAUAUAUUGACAAAUUUAUGAACAUAUACAAUAUAUAUGUGUGUGUGUGUGUAUAUAUAUCGUAUGGAAAAUAUAAACAUAGAGGGGUUCGUGCAUCAUAGGGAAUGUUUUCAUGCUUCAUGGACGUUUCAAAUAUCUUCCUUUAUUUUAAGCGUAUCUAAUUGGCAAAAAACAAAUAAGAGCCUUUGAAUUUUGUGGAAGAUACGAUUCAUCAAUUCCUUAGCUUCUGGUAAGAGCGUCCUGAUAACGUGUUGUAGGCCUAUUUGAUUGAACAAAUCUAAGGGAUUAGAGAAAGAGGGGGUCGGCGGUAGCAAGAGGGAAGAGAGAGAUUUAAUUGUGAGGUGUGUGUUGUAUCACCCUCAUUGUGCCUUUAUUUAUAGUAGUAGGAUAGGCAAAAACCUUACCCUUUUAGAAUUACAACUCUUAAUAAGUAAUCAACUCCUAAUAGGAAUAUAAGAGAUAUUCCUAUAUCUAUUAGGAUUUAAACAAUCACAUUCUUAUUCUAAAUAUGAUUGCAACACAAACCCAAUAUAUGGGCCUAGAAAAACAGCUCUGAUAUCAUAUUAAAGUUUCAGAGAGAUGAGUAGAAUGGCCCUACAGCAAUAUUGACUCUAACUUAACCGCUUGUUGUCCAAUAGGUGUGAGAUCUUAUCCUAAAAGACUUUAAUGUAAAAUGGAUAUAAUCAUAAUAUGUUUUGUCAAACCUCCAAUGCAUGAUUUCCAACAUAUAGUCCAAUACAUCAAAGAUUUCCACCAUGUAACUAAGAAGAAAAAUAAUGCAUCAGUAUUAAUUGGAAGAUAUACUAAAAAAUUUAAGUACAUCUAUAUAUAAAGCCAAUGGAAAGGUGAAUAGUGAUUUUGGUGUCACCAUGCUUCAACAAAAACAUUUGGACAAAAAUGCUCCCAAGACAAAAAUCUUCAAAGGCAUCCCAAAAUAAUGCAUCAAAUAAGGCAGGGGCAUUUUCAUCAUUUUAAUAGUAUUUUUUUUAUAAAUAAUUUUUUGUGCUUUUUUUUUUUAAUUAGUGACUCACAAUAGGCUAGCAAUAAUGUGAUUCAAUUUCUCUAUUUUUAAACAUGUUCAAAACAUCUUAAGAGACGUGUAAUGUCGGUUAUAAAAAAAGUCUUUCUCGGAUAAUAAUGUGAUUAAAUUAGUUGUCAAUUGUUUUUUAACAAAUGAUAUUAUCUAUACUAAUGGGAAGGGGGUGGGCUUAGCCUCACAAUGAGAUAGCAAUAAUGUGAUUAAAUUAGUUGUCAAAUGAUUGUUUUUUUUAACAAACAAUAUUAUUUACACUAAGGGGAGGGGGGGCUUAGCCUCACAAUGGGCUAGCAAUAAUGUGAUUCAAUUAGUUGUUCAUUCAAUAUUAUUUUUUCUAUUUUUAAACACAUUCAAAACAUCUUAAGAGGCAUGUAACGUUGGUUAUAGAAAAUGUCUUUUGCACGUGGAUAAUAAUUCAAUCAGUUAUUUAUUCAAUAUUAUUUUCUCUAUUUUUCUAUAUGUUAUACAUAGCAGGUUUGUGAAAUUCCAAGUUUAUCCUUCUUGUUUCUUUUUUGUCGUGUUCCUUCAACAUGGGACCAAUGACGUAGAUUUCAAAUUGCAGCUAUGGCUGUCUAUUCCAAUCACAGCCACAAUUAGAAUAACUACAAAAGUGGCACUCCUAUUGCGACCCCAACUUUUUUAAAGGGUGAUUCUCUUCCCUCUUAAUUUAUUUUUCUUUUCUUUCCUUUUACUUGAAAGGUUAUGGUUAAUCCACAUCAAUCUCUUAUAUUGAUUUUUUUUUCGGUAACAAUAUAUUGAUUUCUUUAUAGAAAUAAUACGAUAAAAAAUAAAGUGUGAGAGGAGGAGAAUGAAGAGAAUAAGAAUGGAACGAGAGAAAAUCUUACUCUAACUUUUUGUUAUGCAAAUUUAUUUGAUGCCCAAUCAAAAAAUUUUGUUCAUACUUUUUAUGAAAUAUGUCCCGUCAUCUUCUGCAUAGUGAGCACAUGCCACUUCAACCAGAUCGUUUGCUAAGGAUUGUCGCGAAUAGAGACGGAGGGACGAAGGGACCAACAUUGGCCCAGACUUGCCCUCAUUUUUAUUCAAGAAAAAAGUAGACUAGUGCUAUUAGGCCAUCUCCAAGCAUCUCCAACCGAGGGCCAAGCCAGAUGGCUUGUGGGCCCCACGGAAUCCGAAAUGGCCAAAGGGCCAACCGGCUGGCCUAAUCCAGCCAACCAGCCUGGGCCGGCCUGGAUUUCAAAUUUCCAAUGGCUACUUGCUGAUGUCAGCUAGCCGUUAUAAUUUUUUUUUUUUUUUCACAGAAAUGCUUAACUAAAGGUUUUGGGCCAAAAUGUUUUAAAGAAUAUUUAAUUAUAGGCCCACAAAGUAUAUUUAACUAAAGAUUUGGGUGUUCUUUUUAUAAGCUUUGGAGGUUGCUCAAGUUCCUUCCACUGCCCCGGGACUCCCACCCUCUUCCCUUGUUUUUUUUUUCCCACUUCCUCUCCCACAGCUGAUGUGGGACUCUCCCACCCACUUCCUUUUUUUUUUAAUACUCUAAAUAAAACCUCUCACAUUUGACUUAAAAUAUAUAAGUUGCAUUUUUUAAAUUUUAGUUGUAGUUAUUAAAUUUAAGUUGUAUUUUUUAAAUUUUAGCGAUAGUUUUUAAAUUUUAGUUGUAGGUUUUAAAUUUAAAUAAUAAAUUAUGUUUGGCCCUUUGGCCCUUGGUUGGAAAUGGCUUUUAGUGAUAGGGCUAAAACGAACCCUAUGGCCCUCGGUUGGAGAUGGUAUGAAAUAUGGCUGUGUACUGUUCAUUAAAAUAUUAAUUUCUUGGAGGACUAGAUGGCUAAAACGAGCCAUCUAGCCAACCUUCCGUUGGAGAUGGUCUUAGGCCAUCUCCAACCGAAGGGUCCAGAGUGACACCCCGAUCCUAGAGUCAAGGCGUGCUGGCCGUCACGUGAGCGUGACGUAACCAAAAGUGCGAUGCGGAAGCAAAAGAUAAAAGAAUUACGAAGGAAUAAAAACCAACUACUAGCAAUAAUAACCAACUAGCAUACUAGAGUGAGUUUAAGUGUGAAACACACAUGUUCAGAGCAUAAGUACUAGAUGCAGUCAAGUAGGAACAUUACUAAAUUACAACACCCGAAGGUGAGUCCUACAUGAGGAGUCUGUCAGAACGCCGUGGGAAUCCUCGUGAGCCACCAACACCGCUAACUAGAACCUGGAGGGGCACAAAACAAGAUUGAGUGGGUCAAUAAAACAAAGCUUUUCGAAAACAUUUCACUUAAUAACAUUUAUAACCUCUCGCUGUAAAACAUGUAUACUUUCCCAGAAAAUAACAUAAUAUGCAUAUAAAUCUUCAAAUAUCUCAAUUCACCAAUCUUUAUCAAAAACCAGAAAGUAUGCCAUGCAUACAUAUAUAUGAAAUAUAUGAAUUAGUAAUUGUUGCAUAUAUAUGUUAAAUGGCGUUGUGGACGUACAGGUGAGUAUCAGGUGAGUUUAUAUUGUUCAUAUGAUUUAUUGAUGAUGUGAAUUGUGUUAAGAGCUCAUAACCUGCACCCUUGGUGUUAGUGCUUAUAUUAUUCACCCCGCACCACACACUCACCUUGGAUCCAAGUAGGUGCAUGUCGUACAGACCAUGAGAGGUGGUUCCGACAUGUCGUACAGACCAUUAGAGGUGGUUUCCGACUUGUAAAUGACUUUAGAUUAUUAUACAGUUGUUGAUGAGAGAAGCACUAGAGCGUAUUCUUACACCAUUCUUGUCGUACAAACUACUUCAGGUAGUUCCGAUUUAUGCAGAGUAGUGUCGUGCAUGUCACAAUGGUGACUCCGGUUGGGUUGGAUAUUGAGCUAUAAAAUUAACCGUACAAGACAGCUGCAGGGUCUCCGGUUGAUUCAUUAUUUCACCUGUUAUAUUGAUGCAUCCUUAUUCUGUUAUUGGGCCAGCACGCCUUGAUUCUAGGAUUGGGGUGUGUCACAGAGGGCCGAAAAUAGCCCGAAAACCGUCUCCAACCGAGGGUUAGGUCAGAGGGCUCGUGGAAUCUGAAAGGGCCAAAGGGUUGGAGGGCUAGCUGCAUGCCUGGGCUGGCCAGAAAAAACAUUAACUUGUCGAUUAUAACCGACAUGAAUGUUUAAGCUAAAAUUCAAAUGCGACGACUAGCUAUUACAUUUGAAUUUUUUUUUUUUUUACAGUUUUAUUAUUAUUUUUUAUUUACAAAAUUUUUCCUAUAACUUCUACUUUUCAUUUUUUUUUUUUAAAAAAAUUCUUAUAACUUUUAUUUUACAAAAUUUGUUUCAUAUUUUUUUAAAAUUCCAUUUUUUCCUGUAACUUCUAUUUCACAAAAUUUGUUUCAUUUUAUUUUAAAUUCUAUUUUGUUCCUAUAACUUCUAUUUCACAAAAUUUGUUCCAUAUUUUUUUUUAAAUUAUAUAUUUUUUUCCUAUAACUUCUAUUUCACAAAAUUUGUUUCAUAUUUUUUUUAAAUUAUAUUUUUUUUCCUAUAACUUCCUAAGUCAUUAUACAAUAUUAUUAAAUUAAGUAACAUGAAACAACAUUAAAUUAAAUUAAGUAACAUGAAACAACAUUAAAUAACAUUAACGAACAUACAAAUUAUACAACAUAAAAAAACAUUUAACAACAUGAAAUUUAAACAACAUUUUUAAAAACAUUUAACAACAUAAAACUUAAACGCCUACUCCAUGCUUCUUUUGGCCCAAAGAUGUGCAACAAGAUCCUGUUGUAGGUACUUGUUUGUGGCACGAUAACGUAUCAUUCUAUAGCGCCUCAUGUACUUAUUUAUAGAGAUACUAGCAGUUCUUGGAUUGAAAGGCAUUAGGCCCCUCAUAUAUUUUUGCACGAGCCUUUCUUGACCUAUUUGGAUCUUCUUGGUUGUCAUCGAACUCUCCAUCAAUAUACCCAUCUUGGUCAUCCUCCACUAUCAUAUUGUGUAAUAUGAUGCAAGGCAUCAUGAUGGAGUCCAAGUUUUCUCGACUCCACCCUUUUGCCAGUUUGCUAAUGAUCUUCCACCUUGCUUGUAGAAUACCGAAAGCUCUCUCAACAUCUUUCCGGUAUGCCUUUUGGUGUAAGGUAAAGAACUUUUCUGUGUCAUUCCUAGGGUUUGGAAUUGCUUGGACAAGUGUCGCCCACUUUGGGUAGAUAUCAACUGCCAAGUAAUACCCCAUAUUGUAUUGACAGUUGUUGAUGUAGUAGUCAAGUUGAGGUGUUUUACCUUCCGUCAAGUUAUUAAAUAAGGGUGAACGCCCAAGAAUUGUAAUGUCAUUUUGGGAUCCAAGGACUCCAAAGAAAGCAUGCCAAAUCCAUAUGUCAUAUGAGGUAAGCGCCUCUAACACAACAGUUGGCUUUCUCGACUUUCCGUUAUAGCCUUUUGUCUUAUGGUGGGAUAGUUGUUCCAAUCCCAAUGCAUGCAGUCUAAUGACCCUAUCAUGCCCGGAAACCCUUAUGAUGAGGUGAGAAACCAAGGCGGUCUGCUUUAUCCCGUUUUUGUUGAAAGUAUGGAUUGACCUGGACAUCACGAAGUAAACGCUCGAAGACAUGAUGCCUCAUCCGGAAGCGACGUCUGAAAUCCUCUUCUGUGUACAUCGUGCUAGGGUUGAAGUAGUUUUUCAUCAUAUUGGCAUGCGCCAUCGCUCUGUUUCAUGGUUUGUAAAAGCGACCAGCAACAAAGCCACGCCAUUAAGGUUGUUCCUCAGUUAGCUGACUCACCAUGGCCGCAGCCAUAGCUGCUACUCUGUUUUGUUUGUUGCGCCUUACUUGAACUUCUUCAUCAGACUCCUAAUUUUCUUGUCUCAUUUGCGCCCAUUUUGCUUCCAAUUUGGAAUUGGAUGAGGACCCCCAGUUGGAAUCCGAAGAGGAUCCAAAGUUGGAAUCCGAAGAGGAUCCAAAGUUGGAAUUCAUUGCAAACUUGAAUUGAAAAAGAUUGAAUUGAAAUAGAUUAAAUUCAAAGUUGUGUGAAUUAUAGUCCAAUAUCCACCCUAUUUAUAGAAAAAAAAUGCAAAUCCAAUGGCUAGCUGACGUCACUUGUCGUUGGAUUUGAAUUUAAGUUGUAGUUUUUAAAUAAUAAAUUAUGUUUAGCCCUUUUGCCCUCGGUUGGAGAUGGUUUUUUGUGAUAAGGCUAAAACGAACCCUAUGGCCCUCGGUUGGAGACGGAAGCAAAUAUGGUAUUGUACUGUUUAUUAAAAUAUUAAUAUCUUAGAGGGUCAGAAGGCUAAAAUGAGCCCUCUGACCAGCCCUCAGUUGGAGAUGGCCUUAGGACCCCAACAUUUGCCCAACCAGGCUAGGAAGCCGAUUGUCUGCCCUUCUGUUUGGGUGUCAUUCUCAUCCCUUCCUAUUUUGUGCGGUCACGGUUAAGCCACGUUAACAUUUUAUAUUAAUUUUUUAUAAAGAUAAUAAGAUAAAAAGUAAUAAGAAUAUAAAAUAUUAACGUGACUUAACCGUGAUCACACAAAUAAAAAGGAAUACGAGGGACACCAAACAGAGGAUAGAUAAUUUGCUUCCGCCAGGCGAACCCUUUCUGACUUCUCAACAGAGCAGCCGCUUUACAAGACAAGACAAGACCUCCGCUGCUGCUAGACUGCAAAGUUGCCAAAUCAACAAAGGCUUUAUCUUCUCUCUUCUAUUUUUAUUUUUUAUUUUUUAUUUUUGGUCAAUAUCUUCUCUUUUCUAAAAAGAAAAAAAAAUAGGCAAUUGAGAUUUAAUAGGGUACUAUUGUCCACACAUUUAUUUUUGUAUUUCAUAUAUCUCUUUUACUUUUUGACUUAAAUUAUUCUAGACCUUUUUUUUUAUGUCGUUACUGACUAAAGAUCAAACAUGACCUGGUUGGAAAGAUCAGAAUGCUUUCUUAAAUUACAUAGCCAUACGAGGGUUCAAGUUUUGGUUGAUAUUUACAGAAUUGAUUAUACUUCUUGAAAACAAAGAUUUGAAGUGGUCUAUACUUUAUUGAGUAUUCAAUAUAAUUCACACAUUUGUGUAAAAAUCAGUGCAAAUGAAGUAAUACGAAUGUCUCUAGUAGUCGGCCUAUAUCUAUCAACCGGUUGAUAAAAGCGAGAGAUUGAGAUAUGUUUGCUAUUUCUUCCAUCAAUCUUCCGAAUAUAAUAAAUUAAAUAUGAUCAAUGAAAUAGAAAUUAUAAAAAUGUGUGACAAUUAGCAAUUUGGCAAAUGCUCUUGUUUAUUAUAUUAUUUAAUAUGUGGUUACCGGUACUCUUGUCAAUUUCAUACUCUUGUAUGGGAAUUGCCGAAUUGAGCUUUAUCUUCUCCUUUGUUAUAUUAUUUUAUAUGUUGAUAACCUUGUUUUCUGCAAGGUUCAAUGAGAUCAAAUCUCGAAACCCACGUCCUGAGGCAAGUGACCCUUGUGGUGAUAGAUUUUUCAAUGUGAACGGUAUACGGAAUGAUACAUCAUAUCUUACUAAAUAAAUAGUAGGAUAUAUGUGCUAAAAAGUUAAUAACUUAAAAAAUAAAAUUUCUCAUAAUUCCUAUUAAAACACAUGAUAUACCAUUUAUGUUUCCGUCAUAACAAAAAAUUUCUUCAUUGUGGCGCCAUACUCUUAUGGCCCCCAGCAUGAUGUUUUGUGUGUACCAAGUAAAAGUGUAAUGUUAAAGAUAAUAAAUUUAUAAAUAAAUGAUGUAUCCCUGAUAAGAAAUAUUAUGCUUAUUAACGUUUAAGUAAUAAUUCAAUUAUCAAAUUUUAUGUUAUUUAGUUUACAAAAUUUAGUCUAUAAAUUUAGUCUUCCUAAUAUUACCCUAGGUAAAAUUACAAAUGAAUUUCUUGGUGUAUCUUACAAUAUUUAGUUUUUAACUUUCUAUGACGCUGAUUGGUUGGUAAGCAACGAGGAUACCUUUAUUACCUUGUGGCGUUGGUUUUUACCAUUUAACGAAAACCAGCAUGUCACUUUCUCAUAACCUCACUGGACUUUGGCAUCCCCGCACAGGUCAUCCUUCAUCAGCCGUUUACAAUUUGUAUCUAACAAUUUUUUGAAUUAUCAUUUUAAUUCGAGUCAUGUGUGCGAUGUUUCUCGUUGGCAAGACAAAUUCGCCAACCUUUUGAAAUUGGAUAAACUAGGAAAACUAAAUUUGGAUAUAAAAUUUGUAAACUAAAUAAUGUAUCAUUAAUAGAAAUAAGUAUGUUUAUCAAAGUGUAAGUAAAAAAUCAAUUAUCAACUUUCAUAUCUUUUAAUUUUCAAAACUUUGUCUACAAAUUUAAUUUCUCUAGCAUUAUUCUUUGAAAUUAGUUCUAUUUCAACAAGACCAUUUGCACUUUUACAUUGUGACAUUUGAGGUUCUAAUAAAAAAUUCUCUUACUUGGGCUUAUUGUUUUCUAUCUAUUUUCUUUGACUUUUUUCACCUAAGUUUUCUUAUUAUGCGACACAAUCACGAAAAACAAACCACGUUGCAAUCUUUUUUUGUCUUUGUUGAAACACAGUUUCAUAUUAAAGUCCAACAAAUACGUGUGAAUAAUGGGAAGAAUUUUUUUUCCGUGUUCUUUUCCAAUAACGGCAAAAUUAUCAACAUUCUUGUAUCUCUAGAUAAUUUUUUUUAACAAAUAAUAUUAUUUAUAUUAAGGAGGUGUUUGAGAAUGAGUUAAGUCUCACAAUAGACUAGCAAUAAUGUAGUUUAAAUUCACCUUCGGUGAGAAUUGAACUUAAGAUCUUUCGCUUACAAGUGAAAAUAUAUAUUACUAGACUAUAAUACUAAAUGCCUUGUAUCUCUAAAUGUUAGAAUUCCCUUAUUGUACAAGAACUACUCAUGUAUAUAUUUUUAUCUUAUCAAUGAGAAUUAUUCAUUCAAGCCAAAUAUAUUUUUUCUACAACAUCCAGGGCAUUUUCUAUCUAUAUAACUGGUGAAGCAAAAGAAAUCCAAUAAUGAUUGUUUAUUUAUUUAAUUUUUUUUUUAUAUCAAUGGAAAAGCUAAUAAAAAUGAGAGACCAAAUCCCACCAACUAAUAUGAUCAAUCAAUUCACAUCCUCAACCUGAUUACCUCGCGAAGGGCCUAUAUUUCGUCUACGUUGAUGUACACCAGCACUUACAUUUAAAGAUUUUAUCAUAAAUGGUCAUUGAAAUUAACCAUCACCAUCAAGAUGGUCUCUGUAAUUAAAAAUUAAUCAAUGUAGUUCUUGAAAAUAGAUGUCACAAAUCAAUGUGGUCAUUCUGUUACAAUUUUGUUAAAAAUUCCGUUAAGUGCUGAUGUGACCCACACCAAAUUUAUGGAUUUUUAUCACAAAUGGUCUCUGAAAUUGACUCACACCAUCAAAAUGGUCCCUUAAAUUAACCAACACCAUCAAUAUAGUCUCUGAAAUUGAAAAACAAUCAAUGUAGUGUUUUGAAAAUAAGUGUAGCAAAUUAAUAUGAGCAUUCCGCCACAAUUCUGCAAAAAAAAAAAAAUGUUAUAUGCUGAUUUGGGUUUAAUAAUUAAUUAAAAAAGUUGCCUAAAUAUCUUUUUGCACAAUGAAUUUUAUUUUCUUAUAGUAUGGCCUACUCCGAAGAGAGCUCCCUUCCAUAAAUUUUCAAAGGCACAAGGCUUAACCAAGGCCUAAGAGAGGAUGUGGAAAUAGUUUUCAACCAAAAAUAGACGCACCUCAGUUAUAACCUCAUUAUCUCAAGGCAGAUUUCGUCAUUCUUUGCAUCACCAAACCACCAAGGAAGCGCCUAACAAACUCUCUAAGAUUAAGAUUGUGAGGAUGUUAAUCGCAUAAAUGUUAACGGUGAUGUCCCAUAAGUCGUUACAAAUGGACCAAGCCGUCACCAAAGGUGAUCUCGAUCCAAGUUCAAUUUGGUGAGGGUGUUGAAGUAUGGAAAGAUGGGUGUAUUGAGAUUUCUUUUUAGAGAAUAGAGAGUGAAGGAGGUAUAGAAAUGUGGACUAGGAUCGGAGGUGAUUGAAGGACUGGGUUUUUGGGUUGACAAUUUUUUAUUAACUAUUAAAUUAUUAAGCCUAUUUGUAAUUUUUUUUAAAUUUAAUUAGACUUGUGUGACCUGUUUAUGUGUCACAUCAGCAUAUAACAUAAUUUUUGACAUAAUUGUGACGGAAGAACUACAUUGAUUUGAGACACUGACUUGAGGGACUACAUCGAUCAAUUUUCAAUUUCAGGGUCCAUUUUGAUGUCACAAGUCAAUUUCAGGGACCAUUUUGAUGUCAUGGGUCAAUUUCAAAGAACAUUUGUGAGAAAAAAGGACUUAUAGGGUCCAUUUAUGUGUCACAUCAGCACUUAACAGAUUUUUUUAAUAGAAUUGUGAGAGAAUGACCACAUUGAUUUACGACACUUAUUUUCAGGGAUUACAUUUGUGAUAAAAACCCUUCCAUUUAAUGAUUAAUCUAUCUCCUUUACAAAAAGAAGAAAUGAGACAAACUCCAACCCUUGGAGUAAGUACCAAAGAUUUAGGCCAAAGAAAAUUGUGGAGCCCAUAAGUGAGAGUGGAACAAGGGAGGUAAAGUGGACUUGCCCAGCAUAGACUCACGCAUGGUCAGUAUGCGCUUGGCAGCGUCAGGUUCUCUGGCCCACCCACGUGGGGUUGUUGGGCUCGUCCCCAUGACACGAGCCCAACGGCUCUUUUUGGUGAUUCGACGGCCAUAAUUCAAAUGGAUCUUGGAAAUCUAAUAGUCCACUUUAAUUUAUUUAAUUUUUAGUUUUAUAUUUAUAUAUUUAUUGAAUCCAACUACUGAAAUCGAAUAUAAUCAAAUCUAAUGAUAUAAAAAAAGAUCUAACAACCCAAAUUUAAAUUCAACGGCUAAAAUAAUUAAAAAAAUUAUUUAACUCAAAAUUCACCCAAAUUUAGUGAUUUUUCAAUAUUUAUCAGAAUUUAAAUAUUUUAGGUUAAAAUGGUCAUAAAAUAAAAUUAAAAAAGUAUACAUAAUUUUUUAUUCUUUAAUAACCUCGUGCUAAAAAAUUUAGGCCAGGAUGAUUGGAGUAGAAAAGUUGUUUUUGGAUUAAAGCCUAAAUUUUCUGAACUAAAAAUUUUAGAUUUUAUUCCAAAGGUUGGAGAUGAUCUGAUAAUUAACUAAUGUUUGAUUUAAGCAUUUCGGCAAUGUAAAAUUGUUUAGACCCAAUUUUGCACUGUUAACCCAUUUAAUUGAGGUCGUUAGAUUAUUAAUAUUUUCUUUAGAUAUCACUACAGAUAUUAAUCGUUGUAGUAAUUGUCUUGGAGAUGCAUAUAUAACUUGAGAGUCGGAUAAAUCCAAUUCGGUAUUGUGCGUCCACGUGAGAGAAGAUGAAGAUAUUCGGUAUUCACCAUAAGAUCAAGAUGGAAUAACAGUGGAAUAUAUUUUUAGAUUCCUGACGCCAUGCGAAAAUUGAAAGAGUUGGAUUGAUGACAAAACUUGAUGCGACACUGACAUGGUAUUGGGGAUAGUGAUUAUCAUCUUUGCAAAGAUGAUUUGCAUGCCGUGAUGCCUUGGUGGAAAUGCAUGGCUAGAAGAUAAAUUGCAUGAUAAUUACUUGAAGUUAGCCGUGGUCUUGAUUUCCACAAUAUGAGGGGAUAAAAUGAAAAUUGUUCAGCUUACACUCUGCACCUAUAUAUUUUUAAUUAAAGAAUUAAUAUCUUUUUAAACUCAAAUUUUUUAUUUAAAUUACAUUUACAAACUCAAUUCAUUUAUCUUUAUACUCAUUUAGAAAAUAAAAUCCCAAAUUGAAUAAUUUGGUCAAGUUUCUAAUUAUUUAUGGGAAUGAAAGCUUUUUAGACUUCAACUUCUGAGAACAAGUUGAAUAAUUUGGUUAAGUUUCUACUUAUUUAUGAAUCUUACUUGUAAACGUUAUCUAUGCAUCAAAAAGUCUAAAAAGUAAAACUUGCUUGUGAGUCUGUGACACAAGAAAGAAAACCCUUCCUAUUCUCUCUGCUUGCUGCAAUGACUAGGCCAAUCUAAACACUGCCAAAGACGUCAAACACAUCUUACAAUUUAUAUUAGACAUCAUUGUGUUUAGCAACCUCGUCAAGUGCAUCUUACAGUUUGUAUUGAACAACACUGUGCUUGACAAUUGGCAACAUCGUACAAUUUGUAUCGGACAAACACUAGCUCCAUAGAGUCAAACAGUCGUGGAGCAUCUUACAAUUUGUAUUGGACAUCACUCAAGUUCGCCUGACUAUCUAUCCAAGUCUCUAUCAACAAGGGUUCUUUGAGUCCUUGUUGGAAGAGGUCACUUCAGUAGCUUUCUCAGCAAAGUUAGGAGUUACCAAGUUACAUCGGUUGGCACAUUGAAAACCGAACCUGUUUUAAGAUUGGAUAUUCACAAGUACAUUUUAAAGGCACUUCGGCAACCGAACCACAUUUAAAAUCAAGACACUUAUCUCCUUUGAAUAUUUGUGUCGGUAUAGUCUGGUACUGAUUCGGCGCACUUAUAUUUGCACAAAUAUAAUUGAAGCAACCGAGCCCGAUGCUGAUGAUUCAUGAACUUCAAAGUAACUAGUAGUCUUGUCUUCGAACUCUAGAACCUAAAGGCCGAGAUGAGUUCUUUCUUUGGCCGCAAUCAUAAGAUACAUAAAUUAACAAUGCGUUUGGCAUCUUUUUUUUGUUUAUAUUGAAACACAAUUUCAUAUUAAAGUCGAACAAAUACGUGUGAAUAAUGGGGAUAAUUUUUUUUCCAUGUUCUUUUCCAAUAAUGGCAAAACUAUCAACAUUCUUGUGUGUGUGUGUGUGUGUGUAUGUGUGUAUAUAUAUAUAGAUAUUAACAAACAAUAUUAUCUAGACUACGGGGGUUGGGGAGUGAGCUAAACUUCAUAAUGGGCUAGCAAUAACGUGAUUCAAAUUUGCUUUGCUUCUGACAAUAAUUGAACUUAAUACCUCUCACUUACAAAUAAAACGGAAUACCACUAGACUGUAGUACUAAUUGACUUGUAUCUCUAAAUAUUAGAAUUUCCUUAUUGUACAAGAACUACUCACGUAUAUAUUUUUCUCGUAUCAGUGAGAAUUAUUCAUUCAAACCAAAUAUAUUUUUUCUUCAACAUCCAGAGCAUUUUCUAUCUAUAUAUCUGGUGAAACAAAACGAAUCCAAUAAAAUGAUUGUUUAUUUUUUAAAAUCAAUGGAAAAACUAAUAAAAAUGAGAGACCAAAUCCCACCAAUAACAUGAUCAAUCAAUCACAUCCUCAAUCUGAUUACCUCGCGAAAGGCCUAUAUUUCGUCUACGUUCAUGUACACCAGCACUUCCAUUUAAUGAUUAAUCCAUCUCCUUUAGAGAAAAGACAAAAGAUAAUUAGCUGAUGUUCGAUUUAAGCAUUUCGUCAGUGCGAAACAUAAUCAAUUAUUGUUUACCCCAAAAAAAUAAAAAAAACACAAUCAAUUAUUCCAGAAACUGAUAACACAUUGUUUGUCAACCUCUUUAGAUUUGAAGUUGGGAACUUUUGACUGUUGAAUUAGUUGGACUAUAAGGGAAUGUUUAGGUGAAGGAGUUCUGAAUUUCAAGGGAAUUAGUCAAAAUAAAGAAAAACGUUGAUUACAAAAGGUUGGAUGAGAGGAAUUUUUUGGUUUUUUUUUUUUUAACAAACGAUAGUAUUUAUGCUGAAGAAAGAAGAUGUGCUAAACCUUAAAAUGUGCUAGUAAUAAAGAGAGAGGAAUUAGAAAAUGCACCACAUGAUUAUUACAAAGAUAUGCAAAAUGGAUUGUAAAUGACUUCUUUUAAGUACUUUGCAAAUCUCUCUCACAUGCCUAUUGUAAUGAUCAAGUUGUGCAUUUCUAAUCUUUCUAUUUAACUUUUGGUGAACUAUUUUUCAUCAUUAUAUGUAAAUCCGUUGAAAUUUGAAAAUUCCUCACCCAAACAUAACGUAAGUGAUUGAAUUGCCGACUUGAUAUAGGAUGAAAAGUGAAACAUUUUUGUUGUGUACGUGGAAUUAUGUAAUGGUAAUUGUUUUACUUGUAAAAGUCAUAGUGGGACUGGCAUACGUGUGUGAAGCCAACUAAGACAAUUUAUAUGCUUCGUUGCACUAGAGAAAUUUGAUUAGAACCCAAUGAACCUCUUUCCACGUUUAUGCACCAAGAAUUUUAACGUUAAGGCAAUAAAUUAGACAUUUCCAGCAGUAGCUGUACUAGAUUUUAUUGUAUUAGAAUUUCAAGACCAAGUUUUUUUAUUUGUCUAGAAAGAACUCUCUAGUAUCUUUUUGUACUCUCUUUAUGAAAAUCGAGGCUUAUCAAUUUGUAAUAAUCAUAAAACAAGAAGUGUUACAAAUAAGAGUUUUGCAAUAUUAACUCAUAUUUUUAGCAAUACAUCAAUAUUAAAAUUAUUUCCUGCACCAAACUAUAUUUUAUGGCUCAUCCAUUAUUUGUUUUAUUUUUCUAAGUUAUUACUCAAGGUCUGGUUAGGCACGACUAAGGUUUACUUAAAUUGGUUUUCUACUAUUAUUCAUUUGUACAUGAAUACCUCCUUUAAUAUACUCUAAUUUAUGUGAAAUAGGGAAAAUUCUGAAAUUUAGCUUGACUCUGACAUACUAAGAUUGAAGGAUGAAUGAAAAAGAAGUUUCAUUGACAUCCAACGACACUUACUAAAACCGUAUUAAUUUUAGUACUUUGAUUGAAACACAAACUGUUAAAUUUCAGUAUUACAUAAGAAAUUUAAUAAUGAAAAUUAAUAAUUCCUCCCUAAAAUCAUACAAAGAUUUUUAACCUCAAAUUCGAACUGUGUGAAAUUUAAUCAAAUAUUUCAGUUUUUUCAAAUAAAAUAUUUUAUUCUUAUUUUUAAAAUAGGGGAUGUUUUAAAUUAAAAAGGGUACAUUUUUAUUUAAAAAGUGAGUAAAUUUUACUCAAAAGUCUAUAAUUAGUAUGAGAACCUAGUUUCUUCUAGUUGGGUGUAUUCAAUUGGGUAUUUGAGAGAUUUCAAUGGAUUUAUAAAUCCAUAGAAGGAGUUUAAUUGAUUUGUAGAGAUUCCGUGUAAAAUUUUGAUUCAAUUCCCUCGAAAUCUCAUGGGGAGAUGUGAGAUUUGUGGAUGCUUAAAAUACACUACGAAAUCUCUCAAAUUCUCUCAAAUUCCUCAACAUUUUCAAAUUCUUUAAAAUCAAAUUCUAAUUGAAUACACCUGGAAUGUUAUAAACUUCUUUAAAAUCUUAAUGGAAUACACCCAAAUUUCUAAGGAUUUUAAUAAACUAUCUUAAAAUCUUAAUUGAAUACACAUUGAAUUUCAGAGAGUCACUUAAAAUCAUGAUUGAAUACCAUUAGAUUCAUUAAAGAAUUAAAAUCCCUCAAAAACUCAAUUCAAUGCACCCACUUUUUUUUUUUUUUAUAAUUUAUUUUGAAUUCUAGAUUUAGAGAGAAUGUUGAAAUUGAACAUUUAAAAUCUUCACUUUUCAGCUUUCAAGUGGGAGUUGAAUUAAUUUCUAAAGGAAGAAUGAAACCGUAAACAAAGGUAGAUUCACUGCGCCCACAUUCUAUUGCAAUAACAAUAGCUACCAACCACUUUGUUCAGAAGAAGGGGGAAAAAAAAUAAUUAAAAUGGAAAUCUGACAGCCACUCCAUACAUGAAAAUGACGAAGUAGGAUUCUCUUAUUUCUCAUGCCCUCACCUUCUAUUUGAAUAGUCGUAAUUUAGUUUUGUUGACAUCUUGUAUUAAUUUUUUUGUAGAUAGAGAAAGACAAAAAUUACAGAGAUGCUAUCAAAAGAAGGUAGUGUUAAAAUACAAGUCAAGGGUAAAUGAAAAUUAUACAUUAAAAUGGACAUGUCAACCUUAUCGUCUAUUUAUAUUAUAAUACAUAGCAUACUAUCUUUUAUUCUUGGUACACAACGUAUCAAUCAAUACUACACGGCAUGGUGUGAUAGUCAGAUUUAAAAAUUCAUCUAAAAAUACUCAUUUAAGGUUAACUUUUAUAAGUGAUCCACGAAAAUAUGGUUGGUUGUAGCGCUUUUUUCUUUUCAAGUCAAAUUGAACUUUAUUAAUAACCAUGCAUCAAGAUCGCACAUAAGGCAGAGAUGACAAAUGUAAUCAAGCAGUCGCAUAUGUCGAAAAUAUCAAAACAAUUUUACAAUCACAAACUUAUCCUGAAAAUCACAAACUUAUCUUGAAAAUUAUGUAAUUUCUAAUCACAAAGGACCCACGUUCCACCAACAAGAUAGCAGAUACUCACGGUAUCGGCACCAUGAGGAAAAAAAAUCAAACAGGCACAUAACAGUAAAAAAUAAAUAUACAGUGGGAAGGAACAUCAGAAGUCCAAAAGACAAAAAAGACAAAAGCUAACAAUACAAAACUUAUCAAUUAUUUGACAAAAGGAGCCAAAGAUAACUAAAAUAUGAAAAAAGCAAUCCAAAAGGAAUAUGUCUUGCCGAUCUUAAUUUAAGAAUCCGUUUGUAAUUGCUAAUGUAAAAACACUUCUCCUCAUCUCUGCCGCCAUGCAUAUAAAACUUUAUCCAUAUAACUUUACAAAAAGAUGGCAUUUUGUCAUCGUGAAUACAGGAAUGAAUGUCAUUCGAGACUACUUAAUUAAUGUUAUUAUUUGCAAUUACGUGUUGAUGUCAAACACCAGAAAGUCAAAUUGAAGCACUAUAAUGCCUAAGAAAAAGAUAAACACAAAUACUAAUCGGUCAAUGAUCUGCGUUUUCUCCUUUUCAUUGUUUCCACAUGGUGAUUUUAGUGUAAACAAAUCAAGGGAAAUGCUCAGUCCAAGUGCAUUAUACUCUGUCAAUGAGAUUCAUCCGUUCGUUCUUACGGAUUAUACAAACUAUGGACGGAAACUUACUCUUUUUCAAUUUUCUUAAGCUUUCAUCUUAUCUAUUGAAUCCACAUCAUACACUUAAAAUCCAGGCUCUAAGGUCAUUUGGCACUAUAUAAGUAGGAUAAUACUUGCUUCUACCGUAUUGGUGGACGUGCAUAUCCACUUCUUAUAAAUAGUGUAUUUUCAUCGUAAAAUUUUACAAUAAGAAUCAUCCAUUUUCUCAAUCAUCAUUUAAAGAUCAUCUCUACAAAAAUAAUUCGGAUCAGAGAUUGUUUAGUCAUCCAAAUGUAUCAAAUAAUUGGAUAGUUCAUUAUGAAUAUAUUACUUGAUAUACCUGCACUAUUGAUUUAUUCCACAAAUUUGAAUGAUUAAAUGAUUUUUUAUUCAAACAAUUUUUUACAGGGUUUUUAUCACAAAUAGUCCCUGAAAUUAAAAAUCAAUUAAUGUAGUCCAUGAAAAUAGGUGUCACAAAUCAAUGGGUCCUUCCGUCACAAUUAUGUUAAAAAUUCCGUUAAGUGUUGAUGUGGCAUGCGACAACCCGUCCCAAAAAUUUCGUUUUCUAUUUAUUUUAAUCGAGGGAAUUGACGAAAAUACCCUAGAAGUGAGAUCAUUGACUUUAGUUGACCAUCUUUUAGUAACUCAUACGUGUUAUUAUUUGUCGUACUCUCGAAGUACUCGACGAUCCAAACGUAUAGGCGUAAGCAGAAUCGAAAGCAGAACUAUGGAUAAAAUUUUAUAAGACUUCGAGUGCUGAAGACAAAUAGAUAAAUUUCAUAAUUGGGAAAUAUUUUUGUGACUUUUUUUUUGGGAGCCAUGUGAGUGGCUAUGAAGGAAAAGAGAGAGGAAAAUGGUUGCUGGCUAAUCAGGAAAAAGGGAAGGGAGAAAGGAGAGCUGGGAGGGUGGAUGGACCAACCAGGAGAAGAGGGAGAAGAGUCUAACCAAUCAGGAAGAGAAGAAAGAAGGAGACAGGAGAGAAGGGAGAAACGGGGAAUUACAACCCGCGAACUCGUAACUCGACCCGGUCGGUGUUCUUGCCAUUUCCAAAGGGUUUUGGCCCAUUUUUCUGACGAAUCGCAUCAAACCAACCCUUGUAAAACCCUCCAUGACCUUCCUUCUUCCUAUUACACCUCAAAAAUAAAGGGUUUUGGCUUUGAAAUUAGGAGAAACAGCACGGAGGGGUGCGGCGGGUUUGGGUUCAAUUUACCUAAAUCCAAAACUAAUCACACCCAUCUCUACCACCAUUAGACUUCCUUUGAGGUAUGGAACAAAGCCCAAUCAGUUGUAGGGGCGGCGGAUCAUCAAGGAGAAAGAAUCGAAGCACACCCACACUUAGGGUUCCGACGGAUUUUAGCUAAAUUGGGGCUUUUCCCGAUCAAAUUGGCCUUGGUCACAAGUAUGAAAGUUGCCCUACUCAUUGAGACCUUCAUUUCUAUAGUUUUUGAGAAUUUUUAGAAAUAGUUGAAUUUUUCGGCGAGUCGGGGCGGCCAACCGCCACCCGAGGCGGCGCGUGGUCAGGGGACCGUCAAUGUUAUUUUUAGGCUAAAUUAGAUGCCUUGAGUUCAAUUUUGGUAAUUGUAUAACGUAGGUUGAUUGUUUGGACCUAAAUUCAUUAAGAUAUGUUACUUGGUAAAAACAUGAAUUGACGACUGUUGGAUUGUCACCAAACUUUAAUACGUUAUAAUACAUAAUAUUUGAAGUUCAUAGGAACUUACGAAUCGGGAAUCCGAUAUACGGAUCUUCCCAAAUUGGAUUUGUAAGUUCAUAAAAUAAAAGGUUAACCGCCACUUAGUUUUGGCUAUUGGCGGAGAUACGACCAUUGGAUCAUAAUGAAACUUUAGGAUGUUGUUCUAGACGUAUAAUGUGGAUCUUUGGAAGCAAUGGACCCGAAAUCCGUGAUGCAGAUCUUUUGAAUUGAAUUACGUAGGGAUGUGUUUCAUGUAAAUUAUAUAUUCUAUUGGUAAGAACUCUGAGAUGUGAUUUGAUAAUUGUUAUAGGCAACGAUGGUUCAUGAUGUCUCGAUAUGCAUGCUAGGGAGUCGUAGCGUGGACCUCAGGUGAGCGGAUCUUUUCCUUUCUAUCGUAUAUAUAUAUAUAUAUAUAUAUAUAUAUAUAUAUAUAUAUAUAUAUAUAUAUAUAUAUAUAUAUAUAUAUAUUAUAUUAUUGAUAAUUCCAUAAAUGUUUAUAAAUUGAUUAUUGCUUAUAAUUACCGUUAAUGCUUUGAAGUACUGAUGCAAACUACGAAUGGCUUGAUCCCUAUUUAGGGUGCGUAGGCAGUCUAACGAAACGUUAGAUGCAGCCAUAUCAUAAAUGAGAUUAAAUAAUUGAGACAAUAGCCUUAUUUGUGAAAUUGUGCAAGGUGGGGGACCUUGGUAGAAGAUGUAUAUAUAUAUAUAUAUAUAUAUAUAUAUAUAUAUAUCUAUAUAUAUUUGGCACCACUACGAUAUGGUUAAGUUUUGAAUUGCAUCAAGGCAUGUCCAUAAGUAUAUUAUUGAGCAUUAUUAUUAUGAACGCUUUAAGGUACGAAGGUGAACGUGGGAUGCAUAGAUAAGUUCAGGUGAGUAUAUGUUGUGAAAUGUGAAAUGCAUAAUUGUGAUUACAUUUUAUUUAGAACGAUCGAGUGAUGGCAUGACUAUAUUAUAUUUUGAGCAACUUCGACACUAUCAUACGGAUUGCUCAUGAGUCGUACAUGUUAUGUUGAGAUGUAUUGAGAGCUCAUAAACCUGCACCCCCGUGGCCAGGGUAUAGUCUUUCGCGUGAUGUUCACCUCCUGCACCUUACGCUCACCUUGGAUCCAAGGUAAGUGCACAGCCCUGUCUUACAAACCACUUUAGGUGGUCCUGACUCGUAGGUGACCUGCAAUUAUUCGCACAGUCUUCACGUGAUCGUAGCACUUGAGCGUAUUUAUUUACACCCAGUCCUGUCGUACAUACCACUUUAGGUGGUUUCGACUCAUGUGCAGGUAUACUUAUUGAGCUAUGGAUAAGUCGUAUAGGUCACUAAAGGUGACUCCGAUUUAUGAGCUAGCAUAUGUGAUGAGAUAUGUGACGAGCUAGCAUAUGUGAUGAAUAUGUGAUGUGACGAGCUAGCAUAUGUGAUGAAUAUGUGACGAGCUAGCAUAUGUGAUGAAAUGUGUGACGAGCUAGCAUAUGUGAUGAAAGAUGUGAUGAGCUACCAUAUGUGAUGAAAGAUGUGAUGAGCUAGCAUAUGUGAUGAAAUAUGCGAUGAUCUAGCAUAUGUGAUGAAAUAUGUAAUGAGCUAGCAUAUGUGAUGAAUAUGUGAUGAGCUAGCAUAUGUGAUGAGAUGAAUAUGUGAUGAGCUAGCAUAUGUGAUGAAUAUGUGAUGAGCUAGCAUAUGUGAUAAAGUAUGUGACGAGCUAGCAUAUGUGAUGAAAUAUGUGAUGAGCUAGCAUAUGUGAUGAAUAUGUGAUGAGCUAGCAUAUGUGACGAGAUAUGUGAUGAGCUAGCAUAUGUGAUGAAUAUGUGAUGAAUAUGUGAUGAGCUAGCAUAUGUGACGAGAUAUGUGAUGAGCUAGCAUAUGUGAUGAGAUAUGUGAUAAGCUAGCAUAUGUGAUGAACUAGCAUAUGUGAUGAGAUAUGGGUAAGUCGUACAGGUUACCAUAGGUGACUCCAACUUGCGUGCUAGUAUGGGUUAUUAAUCACAUGAUUAUUUGAUAUUGCUGAUGAGAUGCUAUGUUGUGACAUAUUUAUGAUUUUUCUGGAAACUAUACAAGUGUUGUAACGAGGGGUUAUAAUGUUUUAUAUGGUUUCUAUUAAAAUUUUAUUUCCAGGGCCACUCACUCUUGUUUUGUCGUCACCCUCCAGGUUUUAUUAGCUGAGCUUUCUUAUCGUCGAAGAUUCGUGGCGAUUCUUAAUAUUGGAGAUUAUUUCGAGGUACGAUUCUUAAUUCACUCUACUAUAUUUGCUUAUGCUCUAACGUCACGUGUGAAGUGGGUUCAUUCCCGCUCACCUCCGCAUUUUGGUAUUUAGGCACUCUUAGGUUUAAAUUUAUUCACAUUUUUCCACAUCAUCAUACUUUAUGGCUUUGUCAGCCUCCAGGUGUCGGCCAACACAGCUUGAUUCGGAGUCUUAGUGGACAUGUCGGGUCGGGUGUGUCAUGGCACAUAAAUGGGCCCAUAAGAUUUAUGGGUUUUUAUCACAAAUGGUUCUUAAAAUUGACCCACACCAUCCAGAUGGUCCCUGAAAUUGACCCAGACACCAUCAAUCUGGUUCUUGAAAUUGAAAAUCAAUGUAGUCCUUGAAAAAUAGGCGUCGCAAAUCAAUAUGAUCAUUCAACCACAAUUCUGUAAAAACAAAAUUGUUAUGUGCUGAUGUGGGUGUAAUAAUUAUUUAAAAAAGUUGUCUAAAUACAUUUUUGCACAAUGGAAAUUUUUUUCUUAUAGUAGGGCCUACUCCGAAGAGAGAUCCCUUCCAUAAAUCUCAAAGGCACAAGGCUUAACUAAGUCAUAAGAGGGGGUGUGGAAAUAGUUUUCAACCAAUAAUAGACUCACCUCAGUUAUAACCUUAUUAUCUCAAGGCAGACCUCGCCAUUCUUUGCAUCACCAGACCACCAGGGAAGAGCCGAACAAGGUCUCUAAGAUUAAGGUUGUGAGAAUAUUCAUCGCCUAAAUGUUAAUGGUGAUAUCCCAUAAGUCGUUGCCAAUGGGCCAAGCCGUCACCAAAGGUGAUCUCGAUCCAGGUUUCCGUGAAGAGUGUCGAACUAUGUAAAGUAUGAGUGUAUUGAGAUUUGUUUUUUAGAGAAUAGAGAGCGAAUGAGGUAGAGAAGUGUGGACUAGGAUCAGAGGUGAUUGCAAGAUUGGGUUUUUGGGUUGAUAAUUUUUUAUUACGUAUUAAUUAAGCCUAUUUGUAAUUUUUUAAAUUUUAGACUUGUGUGACCCAUUUAUGUGUCACAUCAGCACAUAACAUAAUUUUUGACAAAAUUAUGACGAAAUGACUACAUUAUGGGGCCCAUUUAUGUGCCACAUCAGCACUUAAUAGAAUUUUUAACAGAAUUGUGAUGAAAUGACCACAUUGAUUUGCGACACCUAUUUUAAAGGACUACAUUGAUUGAUUUUCAAUUUCAGGGACCAUCUUGAUGGUGAUGGUCAAUUUCAGGGACCAUUUGUGAUAAAAAUCCUUUUUUAAAUGAAUAAUCUUCAAAAUAAAAAUUAAGAAAUUGAAUAAUUCUAAUAAGAAAUUUCUAGGAUGAAAAUACCAGCACCCUUUGAUAAUUGUAACCUCCCCAAAUCUUGUUCUAGGUACAACUUCAGGUGUUAGCUAGCACAUUUCACCUCAAUUGGCGGUUUACAGUUGGCCUUAUCCCAUCGUUAGCUUGCCCAAGAAAAGUUGCAAAUUUAUGUAGCAUACAAGUGUCAUAGCAAUGUAGACCUCCAAUUUCUUAGGCCAUCUCUAACCGAAAGGUCCAGAAGGCUGAAAAUAACCUGAAAACAGUCUUCAACCAAGGUCCAAGCCAAAGGGCUCAUGGCCUUACUGGACAAAAAAGGGCCAAAAGGCCAACCAGCCAGCCCAAACCAGCCGGCCCCGGGCCGAGCCAAAAUUUGAAUUCCAACGGUAACUAGCUGAUGUCAGCUAUCCGUUAUUUUUGAAUUUUUUUUUUUCACAAAGUUUUUUUUUCCCAUAACUUCCUAAGCCAUUAAGCAACAUUAAAUAACAUUAAGUAACAUGAAACAACAUUAAAUAACAUUAAACAACAUAAAAAAACAUUUAACAACAUGAAACUAAAACAACAUUUUUAAAAACAUUUAACAACAUAAAACUUAAACAUCUACUCCAUGCUUCUUUUGGCCCAAAAAUGUGCAAAAAGAUCCUAUUGUAGGUACUUGUUUGUGGCACGGGAACAUAUCAUCCUAUAGAGUCUCAUGUACUCACUUAAAGAGAUACUACUAGUUCUUGGAUUGAAAGGCAAAUUAGGCCCAUCAUAUUUUUGGCACGAGCCUUUCUUGACCUAUUUGGAUCCUUUGGUCGUCGUCAGACUCUCCAUCAAUAAACCCAUCUCGCUCAUCCUCCAGAAUCAUGUUGUGUAAUAUGAUGCAAGACAUCAUGAUGAAGUCCAAAUUUUCUCGACUCCACCCUCUUGCUGAUUCCUUGAUGAUCUUCCACCGUGCUUAUAGAAUACUGAAAGCUCUCUCAACAUCUUUCUCGUAUGACAUCAUGAAGUAAACGCUCAAACACAUGAAGCCUCAUCCGGAAGCGACGUCUGAAAUCCUUUUCUGUGUACAUCAAGUUAGGGUUGAAGUAGUUGUUCAUCAAAUUAUCAUGCGCCAUCGCUCUGUUUCGUGGUUUGUAAGAGGGACUAGCAAUAGAGCCACCCCAUUGAGGUUGUUCCUUAGUUGGUUGACACACCAUGGACGCAGCCAUGGCUGCCAUAUAUUGUGUGUUGCGCCAUGCUUCAUCUUUUUCAUCUGACUCCUCAUUUUCUCAUCUCAUCGGCACCCAUUUUUCUUCUAAUUCGAAAUUGGAUUCGAACUGCGAGUUGGAAUUCGAAGAGGAUCCAAAGUUGGAAUUCAUUGCAAACUUGAAUUGAAAGAGAUUGAAUUCAAAGAUGUGUGAAUUAUAGCCCAAUAUCCAUCCUAUUUAUAGCCCAAACAAAUUCAAAUCCAAUGGCUAGCUGACGUCAGUUACCGUUGGAUUUGAAUUUUUUUUUUCGGCCAAAAUUAAAAACAAAAUAUUAAUUUUUUUUAAUUUUUUCCUAUAAAUUUAAGUUGUUGUAGUUUUUAAAUUUAAAUAAUAAAUUAUAUUUGGCCCUAUGGCCCUUUAACCCUUGGUUGGAGAUGAUUUUUUGUGAUAUGGCUAAAAUGAGUCAUAUGGCCUUUCGGCCCUCGGUUCAAGAUGGUAAGAAAUAUGGUUAUGCACUGUUGAUGAAAAUAUUAAUUUCUUGGAGGGCCAAAGGGCUAAAACGAGCCCUGUUAGGCCAUCUCUAACCGAGGUCUGGCCAGAGGGUUCGUUUUAGCCCUCUGGCCCUCCAAGAUAUUAAUAUUUUAAUGAACAGUACAAGACCAUAUUUGCCUCCAUCUCCAACCGAGGGCCAAAGGGCCAUAGGGCUUGUUUUAGCCCUGUCACAAAAAAUCGUCUUCAACCAAGGGCCAUAGGGCCAAACAUAAUUUAUUAUUUAAAUUUAAAAACUACAACAACUUAAAUUUAAUAACAGCAACAACUUAAAUUUAAAAACUACAACAACUUAAAUUUAAAAACUACAACUUAUAUUUAAAAGCUACAAAUUAAAUUUAAAAACAACAUUAAAUUUAGGUAUUUAUAGGAAAAUAUUUAGAAUUUUUAAGAAUUAAAAAAAAAUUUUGAACCCAAUGGUAACUGGUGUCAGGUAGCCGUUGGAUUCAAAUUUGUGUUUAAACAUUCCUAUCAGAUAUAACCGACAUGAAUAAAUUUAUAUUAAAUAUAUUCCUGUCGUUAUAUCCGACAAGAUUGCUGGAAUUUCUGGCCAACCCCAAGCUAGCUGCAUGUGGCCAGCCCUUUGGCCAUUUCAGAUUUCGUGGGGCCCAUGAGCCCUCUAGCCUAGCCCUCGGUUGAGACGGUUUUUGGGCUAUUUUCGAGCCUCUGGCCCUCUGGACCCUUCGGUUAGAGAUGACCCGAUCCUCCUUCGAUUGGAGAUGGCCUUAUAAAAGGCCACUAGACUUGCACUAGUUUUGUACCACCCAUGUCACAGUUUGCACAUCUCGCUAGUUCCCAUAACAAUGUCACCUAAAUGGCUUCUCGUAUUAUUCCUGGGUGUGAUACUUCUGAGCACUUAUUCUUUUGCUGAUCACCAUAAACCACCUCAUAAGCCACCAAUUCAUAAGCCUCCUACUUUGGAAGUGGAGAAGUCAGUUGAAUUGGAUGACAAACCUUGCAAUUGGAUGACAAACCGCCGAUUUCUAUUGAUUAGGGGUGGGUUCGGUUUAAAUCGGUUCGGUUUUUUGUCAAAACCGAAACCAAACCGAAAUUUCGAUUCGGUUCAUUUUUUUUUCGGUUUUUUCCGGUUCGGUUUUUUCCAGUUCGGUUUCAGUUCGGUUUCGGUUUUUUGUUUUUUAUUUUUUCAAAAUGAAAAACAUUGAAAUUUUAAAUUUUAACAUAUCCAACACAAUCAUAACAUAAGCAUUCUAACUAGAAUCAAAGACAAUGAAAAUAAACAUUUAAAGUUGAACUAAAAUCAUCAAUCAAGUCUUCCAAAGUCCAAACUAACAACCUCACAACACAAAAAUCGUACAAAUGACUUAGAAAAGUUUCAUUGUAUGAUGUUGUUCAAAGAUCAGGGUUGUUUGCUUGAAAUUGCAUGUUGACAACUUGAUUAGUAAAAGUAAUGCAUGGGUGGAUUUAUUUAGUGUGUGUUGGAUUCUUUUCCAUCACAAAUUACCCAAGUAAUCUACCCAAAAUAAAUGUUUAUGGAUUCUGUUACAUGUUAUAUGAGAGUAGAUUUGGAAAAGAAAGCUGGGGCAGAAGUAGACAGUGCUAUGGAGAUGGAUGUAGGUACUUCAGGAGGAGGUAGAAAUAAUGGGUUAGGGUUUAGAGUUUUUAUAGGCCUUUUUUUAAUAUUUUGAGCUUAAAGUUUGGCAACACAUUGGGUUUAGCAUAUUUUAACUUACAAAUUGGGUUUAGAAAAUAAUACCCAAAACAAAUAAUUAAAUAAAAAAAUUAAUUUAAUUAAUUCGGUUCGGUUUGGUUUUUAGAUCACUAAAACCGAACCAAAACAAAAGAAUUCGGUUCGGUUCGGUUCGGUUUUUUCAAUUCGGUUUGGUUUUUUCGUUCGGUUUGGUUUUUUCGGUUUCGGUUCGAUUUGGUUUUCGGUUUUUUUCGGUUUUCGGUUUUUGAACCCACCCCUACUAUUGAUCGUGAGCCUUUAGAGGACUUGUACAAGCAGCCAACGGAGAAGAAACCACCACAAAAUCUCUACAAGCCACCCCCACAAGCCUCCUUCACCCAAUUAAUUACUGCAUGCAUGCAUGCUAACCUAGCUAUGUUAAUACAUAUGAACAUGUAUAAAAAUAAGAGCUGCAAGUGAUGCAAUAUUAUGCUUUUAUAAGCUUUACUUUAAUAGCAUUACUAUUAAUCUACUAUACUACCCAGGACCAGUCUUGAAUUUUUUGGUGACCAGCGCAAAACCUCAAAAUGUGCCUUUUUUUAAUACGGAAACAUAUGUUUAAAAAAAAAAUAUUAACGAGGGCUGGAACACGGUCGAAGCUUGGGGAGGGGGGGCUAGGCUCUCACGCCCAAAUUAUAUUACUUGAGAAAAUAUACAAUGGGGGCCCAGGGGGGACAUAGUACCUAAACCCUGACAAUCAAAAGUACAAUCAUAUACAACCACUCCUAACAAAGCUUCUUGAAAUUUCAACCUUUAAAAAAUUGUCUUUUGGCAUUUUCCUCUAAAUCACCACUAUUUUCAUGGUCAUGAGACUUGCAGUUGCCAACUCAGGAAACAAUAAAUCACUCACUUGCAGCCAAUGGAAUUGGGAGAAAGGAAAAGGGAGUGAAGGACGACAGGGCAGUGGGGGGAGUAAGGUGGAGAAUUAGGAAAAGGGUGGAUGUAUUUGGAAGUUAGAGUUAAUUGGGGAUCGAGUGGUUCCUGUUAUGUUUUAUUUUUUAUUUUUAUUUGUAAUGCCCAAAACCUGGGCCCUUUUUUCAUCUUUUGUCAAACUUGGGCUCUUCCCCUCCAGCCCCUAUUUGGGCUUUGGACAUUUUUUUAAGGUGCCCCUUUCAAUUUUGGGUCCUGGACAAUUGCUCUGGUGGCAUUGGGUUUGGGCCGGGCCUGAUACUACCACUACUAGUAGCUUACUAGUGUUCAUGCUCGUUUUCUAUUAGUAAGGCCUGGUUUGGGGUUUCCCAUACCAACUUUAUAUGUACUCAGUUUCAAGUAGCUUUUAAUAAAAGGAAAACUAAUGAAAAGUUCAAAAAAACUUCUCUUUUAACGUAAAGCCCUUUUUAAAGGUCUAGUGAAUAGUGUCAGUUAAAGGUAAAAAUGUAAUUUUUUGUUAAAAGUGAACAGUACCAGGAGUGUUUUGUUAAAACUCUUUUUAAUAAAUGCAUAUGUUGUUGAGAGUGUUAAUCUUAUGUAGAAAAUUGUUUCAGUUAGUUUUAUGGUAGCUGUUCAAACUCUAAUAUAGUAUUAAAUCCUCUUUCAAUCAUUACCAAACAGUUUUGGAUUAAUUGGACGCGAUAAUAAUACUUCCUAGAGACUAUAACCUUAAAGAUUUAUCGUUAAGGUAAACUAUUUAAUAUUUCGAUUAGUAAUGCUAUUCAUAUCAUAUUUUUAUACCACAUUUAUAUACUACCUUAGGUGAUAUCUGAUGUAGACAACCACAUCAUUUGAAAAAUUUGCAAAACUCAAGCAAAUGAAUAAGAAAGACUCUUCGUAUACCACAAUCAUCAUUUAAUUAGCUAGUUUUUCUUAAUUAUUAGUUUAUUAAAUAAUGAACCAAAUUUAAAAAUCUGAUUAAUUCAAAUGAUGUGGUUGUCCACAUCAAAUGCCACCUAAGAUGGUAUGAAAAUAUAGUACAAAAACAUAGUAUGAAUAACAUUACUCUAUUUUGUUCAAAUAUGAACUAAUACUGGUAAAUCUUCCUUGAGCAAGACUUGAGAUUGACCAAUGAAAAUUAAGCGUGCCAAUAAAGAACGGAUUUCCGCUCCGUUGUUGCCAAUAAGCAAGUUGAGAUUCUAUUUGGCGAUCCAUGUGGAAGACUUUUGUUAGUGAUAAUUUUUCAUGAUUCGACUAAUUAGAGAAUAAGAGAUUAUAUUCAUGUACUCUAAAUUACUUUUUCCUCCCUUUUUAAUUUUUUAGUACUUUUAUAUCAAGUGUUAGUGAUGUGCCAAAAAUAUAUUAAAAAAAUAAAAAGAUAUGAAGAAGUAAUUUAUGAUAUAUGAAUAUAAUCUCUCAAUUAAAUUUGAAACCGAACUAACCAAACACAUUUCAAUUCCGGUUUUUAUGGGGGUUGGGGGAUGAGCUAGAAUUGAGUUCCAUUGCUUUCGAUAUAUAGGCCCAUGAUCAUUGUGCUUUAAGCCCAGAAAAUACUGCCCAUGUUAUUCCAAUGCCACCAUGCCAAUCAACUGUGAAACUUUUUUUAUUUUUUAUUUUUUAUACAACAAUGUAUUUACAUUGAGAGGUGGAGGAAUAAACUGGAAUUAAACUCUCAUCUUCGAGUAUCUAACCUAAGUAAACUUGCAACUAAUAUUUAAUUUAAUUAAUUAAUCAUAUCCUCUAAUUUUUUUUCUAAAUAAAAAUGUUGUACAAUUUGUGGAAACUUCGAAAUAUGUUGUACUCAUAAAUUAAUUAGGAAUGUGAUUGAGUAAAUUCUUAUGGGAUUCUAGAGUAUCUUUUAGAUAGUGUCCUAGUUGUAAUGUAUUAUUUGAAAGGCUAGGAUUCUGCCUUCCUUACUACUAUAAGUAAAAGUACAAUGAAAUGAGCUAACACACACACACUACGGAAUUCAUCAAUUAUCUUUUCUCUCUCUUGUCACCGACCUAGCUUUCUCUAUAAUUCCUCAGUAAAGUAGGCCUGCAACAAAAUCAACAUAAUAAGUUAGGGUCUGUUUGGUAUCAUAUUUGAAAUUUUUUAUCAUUUCUCAAAACAUUUUUAAGAACAUUUCUUGAAAACAAUUUUCUUUAAGACUAAAAAACUUGAUUGGUUUGCGAUUUAAAAUUUUUAAAACUUACGACUUAAACUAGACAAAAUGAUCUAAAAAGAAGGGGUCGCAGGAGGGAGAAAGAGGAGAGAGGAGGAAAGAAAGUAAGAGAUGAUUGAAGGAAAGAGAAAUAAGAGAGAUGAUCGGAGGAGAUAAAGAGAAAGAGGAGUGAGAGAAAGAACCGAGAUAAUGAAGAGAGUGGAUUGAAGGAGAGACGAAAAAGGUAAAAAAAAAAGAAGGGAGAAAGAAGAAAAGAGAGAGAUAGAUUUGGAGUGAGAGGGGAUGAGGGAAAGAAAAGAAAUGAGUGAUUUUAAGUUUAAAAACUCUAAAACUCACUUUUUAUGUUUUUAGAUAAUAGACUAUAUUUUUGAGUUAGUCUUGAAUUCAGUUUUUGAAAAUAGUCCUACCUAAAAAGUUUUUAAGGCAUAAAACUUGAAAAAUAUUUUUGAGUCCAAUAGGUUGGAUUCAAAUAAAGUACCAAACAAGCCCUUAAUUUUUCAGAAUAGAAAACCUCAAAUAUCGGAAAUUGUUAAACAUAUUUGUUGACACGCCCCGAUCCAAGAAUCAAGGCGUGCUGGCCGUCACAUGAGCGUGACGUAACCAAAAGUGUGAUGCGGAAGCAAAAGAUAUGAGAAAUACGAAGGAAUAAAAACCAAUUACUAGUAGUAAUAUCCAACUAGCAUGCUAGAGUGAGUUUAAGUGUGCAGUACACAAUUUCAGAGCAUAAAUACUAGGUGCAGUCAAGUAGGACUAUAAUUAAAUUACAACACCCGCAUGUGAGUCCUACAUGCAGGAAGUCUGUCAGAACGCCGAAGAAAACCUCGUGAGCCACCAACUGCUAACUAGAACCUGGAGGGGCGCAAAACAAAAUUGAGUGGGUCAGUAAAACCAAAGUUUUCCAAAACAUUUCAUUUAAAACAUUUCUAACCCCUCACUGUAAAACCUGUAUACUUUCCCAGAAAAUAACAUAAUAGCAUAAUAUUUGUUCAAACCUCUCAAAACAUUAAUCUUUACCAAAAUCCAGCAAGUAUGCCAUGCAAUAAUGUCAAUGACAGAAUAUGGAUGCAUCAAUGUAACAGGUUAUAUAAUGAAUAAACCGUAGACCCUGCAGUUGGUCUUGUAUGGUUCAUUCUAUAGCUCAAUAUCCAACCCAACCGGAGUCACCACGGUGACCUGUACGGCACUACUCUGCACAUAAAUCGGAACUACCUAAAGUAGUCUGUACGACAAGAAUGGUGUAAGAAUACGCUCUAGUGCUUCUCUCAUCAAUCAUCUGCGCGCAUAAUCUAAGGUCACCUACUAGUCGGAACCACCUCUAGUGAUCUAUACGACUAGCAUGUCGGAACCCUUACAUGGUCUGUACGACAUGCACCUACUUAGAUCCAAGGCAAGCGUGCGGUGCGGUGAAUACUAUAAGCACUAACACCAGCGGUGUAGGUUAUGAGCUCUCAACACAAUUCACAUCAUCAAUGAUUCACAAGAAUAAUAUAAAACUCACAUGAUACUCACCUGUGCAUCCACAACACCAAUUCACAUAUAUAUGCAUCAAUUACUAAUUCAUAUAAUUCAUAAUAUGCAUGCAUGGCAAUUUAAAAACAUACUUUCAUUUAAAUUCAAUUUAUGGGAAAAAUAUCAAUAGUAUAUAGGUAUAAACAGAAAUACUGCCCACUCACUGGUAAGUCGAUGGGUCGUAACCCCCGUGACGUCCCUGGAUGCGCUCGUCCUCGGAAUAGGUGUCACCUAUAUGCGAAACAACUAUAAAAACAUUAAUUAAAGCACAUAAUCGACAAUUCGUAAUAACUUCUCAUACGGUGCUCAAAUUGGGUAUAUGAAUAUACCACAUCGACCUAUUCGAUGUCACGGACGUCGAGAAAUUUUUAGAAAAAUUUUCUGAGGCUGCAUGUGCCCCACACGCCUGGAUAGGCACGGGUCCACACGCCCCCCACGCGCGUCUCCUACCUCGGGCUCGCCGGACUGGUUUUUCCGGUGGCCGGAAAACUAGAGAUUUUUCAAUCUCCUUGUUCUCCGUCAUUUCUCAACCAUUUUCUUCGUAUUUUAUAUCAAAAUGAAGCCCUAAGCAUGUAGUUUUACGUUACACUACUUUAAGGCUCUAAAUACUACGAAAUCUCACCGGAGAAAUUCCAAGAAAACAGGCCAAUUUCGAACUCAAUGAUCCCGACGUCCAAAACCUUUAAACGAAGCACUCCGAGCUUCCUUAGGACCUCACUAAGCUCACUAUAAGCUUAGAAUUCCCUGAAAAUCAACAUAUCACGAAUGCAUGAACAGUGACAUAAAACUGGGGUUCGGGUUUCACGUGAUUUCGAAGGUUUCACGUCCUAAAACUAGUACCAAACGACUCAGGAGAUCGAAAGGAUGAAGAACCUUACCUUUUUGGCGUCGAUCCAUGAUGUUUAGAGGGAAUUUGGUCUCGUCCGUACGGUUUCGAGAGGGAGAGAGAGACUAAAACGGAGAGGAGAGAGAGAGCACGGGGGAGAGAGAGAGAAAGGGUUGAUUGUGUGUAUGUGUGUGGUCCAUCUCAAGCCAUCACCAUCCAUUUCUUUUUUUUUAACUCCCUAACCACAUACAUUACAAACCAAAUUUUUAGUCCAACUUAAUAAUUUUCCAAAAGCUUAUGAAAUAUGUGUAUUUAGUCCAAAUAAUAUAUCACACACACACAUACCUUAAUACCCUUCAAGGGUAAUUCUGUCAUUUCACGUCCCCGAUAUAAAGAAUCCCGGGACGGGCUGUGACAUUUGUGCUAUUUAUUUGAACAUUAAAAGUAAAUGUAUAAUAUUAAAUUAAAAAUGGUAAGAAUCAUAAAAAAUGGUUGGGAUCCUCCAAAUGAAGGUGUUUGAACCCGAUUUUACACACUCAGCCCAUAUACUCUAAGAUGUUGAAUGAAAGAAAUAUUAAGGAUCAUGAUUAGCUUCCAGACAAAGUUUGAUCAAUUGCACAAUCAAUCUAGGUUCAUAGUCUUAGUUGAGGACAGCGAGACUUGGCGUGGAUAAAGUUUUGAUAAAAAAUAAUUUCGAGUAUAUUCAAAGAAUAUGCGAAGGAAUUUGAAUAUUAUCAUAAUUUUACAACUCAACAAACUUGGCCAUUACGAAAUUCACCCAUAUAAAUAUGAGGUUUUGCAAUGUAGAGAUGACAUUCAACUCAACACAAACAAAUGCUCUAUGCGAAACCCUCUCACACCCUUGGAAAAAUAUUAACUAAUUCAAUAACCACUUUGUCAACACAUAUUCAGUUUGGAUAAACAUCAUUGGGUUGACCAACUAAUAACACAUUCAGUUUAGGUGAACAUCAUUGGAGUCGUAUAAUCAGUCGGUCUAGGGAGUACAUUCAGUUUGGAUUAAGAUCAAUACUUUUAGUUUGGUUGGUUACAUUACUUAUCCAAGUCUCAGAUGGUGAAGAGUUUUUCUUCUUUUGUCGAAAAAGUUCACUUCAUUAGUUUUCCCAGUGAUGUGAGGAUGGUCUGUUAUUCACAAGUACAUUUUAGAAUUCGGCAUUCAAACAGCCGAACCACUUUCACCAUAUAGACACUCAUUUCCUUUGGGAACUUUGUCCCCAUAACUUGAUACCGAUUCGGUGUAGCUAUAUUUUCAUAAAUAUAAUUGAAAUUAUCGAAUUUGGUGUAGAAGAUCCUGAACUAAGUAGUGAAUUACAUAGCCUUGUCUCCAGGUUUUAGAUCCUAGACCAAAAAUGGUGUUUCUUUCUCAGCCGAAUUCGCUUGAUACAGAAGUCAACAACACAUUUCACCAUCGCACUCUGUUUACCCAACUGAGCUCCAUUGCCAAUUAGCGCGCCCGCAUCAACAUAAGGAUGUAGUUAGCUCAGUAGUUACUCGUUCUGUUCACCACGUAGCUUUUGUAGUUUUUAUAGUCAACAUUUUGGCACGCGUAGUGUGACACAGUGCUAAAACUAUGACGUUUAUAUGAUAUAUUAAGAUGCCAAUUCGGCUCCCUUCGACUAAUUGAACGAGAUCCAACCUCAACUCAAGAAACACAUUAAAAAGACCAAGGUGAAAUGUUGAAAGCGAAUGCCUAUUUUACCUUACAAAGACAAUAAGUAAAAGAAGAAAUGGCCAGAUGAGGAACACUCCUUACGUUAUUGAAUAUAAGUUUAUACCAUUUAGAGAAUGGUUAAACCAAAAGGUCGGGCCAAGGAGGGGGGACAUGGGGGCGAUUCUUACUUUGGCCUAAUCAAGCCUCGUCUUAAGAAAUGUAUCAGAUUGGUCGAAGAAGAACACCUAUUCGUUCAACUGAGUUAGAAAAGUUGGUCGGCCUAGAAAAAAAAAAUUCACGUUUCCUGAUCAAAAUAUUGACUCCGAAGAUAAUUAGUUAAAGGAUUGUUCCAAUGGAAAAAAAAGGUCGAAAACAACAUCAGAUGAAGAAACCAUGUCAAUCGAUAUGGUUAUUAGAGAUACAACCAAUAUGGAGAAAUACCAUUUAGUUGAGUUGUUCGAGUUAAAACCUAACAUUGGCGAAGUGACUAUGCUCGGGGGCCAAAAUAACUUGGAGUACUUUGCUUCCGAGAAUAAAAAAUAUUUGGCCAAGUGAAGAAUAUUUGGAGUUGAUCCUUUACUCGGCUUGGAGGAAAAUCAUAAUGAAAAUGUUGAAAUAAAGCAUCGUUGGCCUCCUCCUCAUUAUGGUUCGACGACUCUUGUUUUUGUUUGCUAGGAAAAUAGUAACUUUAUAUUCGACUUUAGGUUGAUACUUAAGAAAAUAAGAGGUAACAAGCGGUUGUUUGCAAAAAAAGAAAAGAAAAAAAAAAGUUCAAUUUAGUGGCCACCCACUUUAGUCGGUAAGCUUUAAUAUGGACUAGCUGGUUAAUUCGGCGUUAUUGUUUCGCCAAGCUUUAAUAAAUGUUUUGUGUUGGACCCAAUUCUGCACAGUGUGGAUGAACGAACUUACGAGAACAAAGACCAAGAAAGGUUGCGAAACCAAGCGACAUGGAGGGUUGUUUGCAGCGUAGGCACUUCAACGAUCAAGUCAAAAAGUAAGGGAAAAAAGUGAGAUGGAUGUUAAGUGUGUAGAGAGAGCUCAAGAUGUUUAUCCCUUUGUGAGGAGUUGGGAUACCUAUUUAUAGGCGUUAAGGAGUCAUCCUAUGUGCUCUGCCAAUUCUUUGAGUCGUCAGAGUGGUUGGAAUCAAAGGUAAGGCUCUAUCCACUUAGAUGUCCCUGUUGUAUGGUUCAGAGCAGUCUGACUCUAUGCAACAUGGGUCAGCACAUCAUGUCUGCCCGAUAUACAAUCACAUCGCCUAUUCCAAUCACUCUGUGGCUCUGCCCAUACUUCAGUAGCAGGGUUCUUGCAGUUUGGAUGAUACAUGAUCAACUGGCAUUUGAGUAGAGGUAGCUGAGAAUGAUAUGGUGCCUACGAUGCCUACUCCAGUCAAAGUGCCUAUGGGGAGAUGGAUUCUAUAAUUUCGUUAGGGUUCCAAUUGUGGAAUGGUUAUAUAGAGUUCUGCUGGGAACCACCAAGUCUUAGUAUCUUGUGAUAAAGGGUAUAAAGAUGCCUUACUCACUCCUAGUUAGCUUGACAAAGUGGAUUCAUGUGUUCACUAUUCCGGAGAGGUUAAAAAUAUUGUGAAGUCUAGUUUUAUUGUUUGGCUUCCCUUGUCAAAUGUUGUAAAUUGUACCACACUUGCUCUAGUUAGAUUUAGGGUUUAAAUGCUACUUUGGGAUCAUGCUACUAGAAAUAUCAUUUCAAGAGCUUAACUUCUCUCAUCAAAGGUUUGUACAUACAUAUGCAUUUCACGACAUUAUUUCUAGUUAUGUCUAGUGGCUCUGUCUUGUCAAAACUUCUCGUUGCUUUCACAUGAGCUGAGCACACACUUUAAGAUAACCCACAUGGGCUUUAUGUUAGCUUUUUUUUCCGAGAGUGUUUUUCAACCCUAGAUCUUUCCAGAUUGAUUUUGCACAUGACACAUGGCUUUUCUGGUCCCCUUUUUGUCUAAACAUCAAGCCCUCUUUAAAAGCUAAAUCUAGGGUUCAUUUGCUCUGUGGGGUUUGAGAUUGGAAAAUUUUUGAAAACUUUAUUUUUCAUCUCCAUCUUAGAUCUCCUAGGAGCAUCAAGCAUAUUUUAUGGGUAAUGUUCUUCAUCGAAUGUUUCUAAAUCUAUCUUUGAAAUUGUUUGCUUAAAUUCGUUUGAUAUUGUUAUUUGUUUGGUUAGGAGUUUUACAUUUUCGGAAAAGAGUUGAUUUUAGUUUUGAGCUACCUUUUAUGUUCUUCAUUAAAACCCUAGCCACAAAACCAUGUUCAUGCAUCAAACACCCAAUCAUUGCACAUUAGGGUAGCAUUGUCUUCAUGGUUUUGUUUUAAUUUUGUGGUCAAGUUUUUCAAGUUUCAAAUCUUUAAACUGACAUUUUUUUCGAUUCGUGUCAGUUUCAUCUUUCAAGUAUUUGACUGGUGAAAAUGACUAGACAUCGAAUUCAGAUUUGCAUCAACUUGAUCACAACAUCGUUUUUAUAGGUUGAUUUGAUUUCGAUGCCACAAGGUGAAGAGCUUAGGAGGAGCUGCCACUUCGUGAAGACCGAAGGAAUUUGUCUCGUAUAAGACAAGGUUGCAUAAAGGUGAAGCUGCUCCGUAGACUAGGUCUACGAAUUAGAUGUGAAAAAUAAGUUAACACACAAAAUUAAACCCUCUUUUUAUCAAUUGUAGCAAAGUAUGUAAGUAGGGAUCGUUCUAGGCCGGGGAUUAGGAGGGAUUGCUAAAUCACUUGGAAACUGACUUGAAAACGUAAAAACAAAGUUUAAAACACUAACUAGACUCAAAGAAUGUAAAACUAUUCUUUAAAACACUAAAACAAACCAAAAGACUCAAAACAGCCCCUAAACACUCAAAACUACCUUAAACACACAAUCUGGGCAGUUUUGGGACUCUAACACAAACUUGGACGAAUUUUGGUUUUCUAAUGAACUAAAACACUUAAAAACAUAAUCUAAGACAAGUUCUAAUUAAUAUGACUCAAAGAAAUAAGAUGGGGUUGAUUUUGGACGAAAAUAAUUAAAUUAAGACAAGAACAAAGUAAACAAAUUCUUAGACAAAUUUGGGUGAAUCAAAACACUCUAACACACAACCAAAACAGAAAUUAAACACUUUGAAACAAUAAAGUAAAAGGGGGAUUUUGGUUUUAAUGAAUUUGAAAACAAAACAAACUUUGUAAAACAAAACAGAUUGUAAGUGAAUUUGAAUGAAAUUUAUGGAUGGAAGAUUAGCUAGGAGGUUCUUCUCCACAUAUGUCACACUUGCAUACAAAACGAUUUCCAGUUGCUUUUCGAUAAGCUAUGAAUACUCAACGCCCCAAAUUACCGUGAAUUGCACUAAUUAACCCUCAGUUUUUCCAAAAGUUAUUAGGUUGGAUGAUUGCAUACGACAACCCAAAACAUUCCCUACAAGUUCCCUACAUGAAUUGCAUAAUAGAGAUACAAGCAAGAAUCAUUAAGUUCUAUGAAAAACAUAAGCAUUGACGAGGCACUCAUUACUAUGAUUUGCAUGAAACUUAUGCCAAGAGUUUACUUAACGUGAUUGUGACUAGCAACCUUCACUACUUGUGAAUAUAAGUUUAUAACGAUUAGGUGAAACUCCCUUAUAUUCUAGCGUCAAAUUCAUGCAUGAAAAUUAAGCAUGCACUCUUAACCAACAUACACAAAUUAGUUUUUAUAUGAACGGAUAAGUAAAUUGAAUUCACAACUUAUGAAUCACAACUGGAUGUAAUCAAAUCAUAUUGCAAGUAUGAACAUAGUUUCGAAUCACCCCCUAACUAAGAGGGGUUUAGUUCCUCAUACUCACAAAGCAAAGAUACAUAAAAUUAGACAUUAAAAUCAAAGGAAAAGAAAACACCUAAAAUGCUCCAACUUGGUAGCAAGUGCAUCCAAGAUUCCUCCUUUCCCUUGCUUGCGGCAGAUUGGGUUAUGGACAGAUUUUGGGUAGUUUUAUGAUGUAGAAUGGAUGGGGAAUGGUAUGGAAGGGUUUAGGGUGAGUGUGGAGGAGUGUUUGAUGGUUGGAGGGUGGUGGAGAACUAGGCAAAGAGGGUGGAAGAAGGUGGAGUUGCUGUUAUGUUUUCUAGGCACUAGAAUGAUGUUUUUGGGGUGUUUUGCUUCCUAGGGUGUGUAUGGACGAAUUUUUGUGAUAAAAUGAUGAAUAUGGGGGAUUGUCCUUUGGCCAAGGGGUGUAAACAUGUAUUUAUAGGCCCCAAAAACCUUAGAAAAUCAGGUUAGGUUAAGGAUGAAAUGCAUGGCAAUUUGUGUGUGUGGUGUGCAAUGGUCCAAGGGUGAAAAUGAAGUAAUGAUGCAAAGUGUGAAGGGUAAAAUGGAGUGGUGUUGUAGCUAGGGAGCAUGAAUGAUUGUGUACAUUGCAUAGAGAUGGAAAGGGAGGUGAAAAUGUGUCAACAAAUGGGUCAAAGGUGCAACAACAUGUGUUGCACAUGGCAUUGGAUUCCAAAUGUGAAUGAUGGAGCAUCAAUUGGUGCAUGUAAUGGAUGUAAAUGUUGUCUAAAAUCUAAUGAGUGAAGGGAACAAGAGGUAUCAAGCAAUUGAGUGUAAUAAUUAAAUGAAUUGAAGCAUGAAAUUAGAAAUUAUGUAGGGGACAAGAGUGAUCAAGCAUGGCAUGGAAUCCAAAGGGAAUUCUAUGUGGUUUGCAUGGCAAGGAAUGCAAGUUGGGGUGACAGAUUUUUGGGCUGUUUUCUUCAUCUUUUGGACCAUAAUUCUUCAUAUUCUUGGCCUCUUUAGUUCUCAAAUUCGUCCAUCCACUUGGCCCAUGCAUUUACUAUCCAUUCCAAGCCCGAAACAUGCUCCAAAGGCCUCCAAAAUGCAUCUUCUUGCAUACUUUGUACUUAGAGUCUGAAAACACACAAAAAUAACUUUGAACACUAAAAUAACUAAGGAAAUACAACGUAAAUGCACAAGAACAAGCUAACUAAGUCGCAUAAAUAUGCUCCUAUCAGAAUUGAGCUUUGCGUGGUACUUUGUAAGAAUCUUGUUUACACUAGUGGAUUGGACUCAGUGGUGAGUUCCCGAUUUUUUAACCCAAAAGUGGGUUUUUUUCUAGCUAGAAACUUCUUGCGUUCUUUGUCUCUUAAACUCGUCUAAAUAUCUUAUUUACUUGCAUAUGUUUCAUGCACCCUAUGAAUUGUUAUUUGAUAUGUAUUAGAGACUAAGUUUACACUGCAUAUUAUGAGCAAUGAACUAAAUUGUUGUUCAUUCGAACAACUUGUAGUGAACCAAGUUUGAUUCGUAGAUUUGCGUUUGCUUAACUGACGAACAUGUACUUAGUUUACUGGUGAGUUUGACUAGUCAAUCAGGCAUACUUUAAUUCAUAAUUGCUUUGUCAUUAUUGUUUGCAUAAUGAAGUGAUGUGUAAAUGUGUUCAAGUUUAGAAAUUAUUAUUGUGAAAGUAAUCUAGGCAGACUCUGAUUAGUUGAACAUAUAAUGGUCAAUUAGGAUUCAUGCAACUGCCCUUAUAUCAUUGACUAACUUGUAACUAGUUGACUAACUCAUUUGACUAGUCUAUUGUGCAAAGUUAAAAUUUCAUUUGCAGGAUAUUCCACCUAGUACCCAAUUUCAAAUAUUGUCUCACAAUUGCCUCUAAAUAUGCCCUCAAAGUGCCUUGUGGGUAUAGUUAAAUAAGACCAUGUCACCUCACCUGAGUGAGAUUCAAGCCAUUGCGCACUACUUGGUCAUCUAAGGGAUGUAAGAGCACUUCCGGUGUGGGAAGGCCUCCUUGGACAAUAGGCAACUCAAUCCCUUUAUAUGAACAGUAACUGCCUGAAAUGAACAUCAAAUACCCAAGUGCAUCUCCAUCCCUGAACUGAAUAGCCCAUGCAAUUUGAAUUAAAAUAAUAAAAGAUAACUUUAUUUUUAAUUUUAGAUAAUAAUAAAAAAUUGGUUGAAAGAAGAUAACUUUAUUUUUAAUUUUAGAUAGUAAUAAAAAUUGGUUGAAAGUAUUUGAAAAAUAUUGAAAUGUAGUGUAAAGUGAAAGAAUAUGGUUAAGUAUUUAUAGAAAAAAAAACUUUAAAAUAUUUUUGAUUAGUUUUUUUAUUUUUUAUAAUUCAAUAAUCUUUUAAUAAUUUAAAUUGGCUAACUUCAUGGUGACUUCAACCUUACAUCACAUAGGCAGAGCGCUGGGAUAGGCGAUUAUUGCCUGACUUCUCCAACAGGCUCGCUUGGGGUCCAAUUGCCCAAGCGGGCUGGAGCGUUUUGGGAGGGAGGAGAGUAGAUUGGGUUGCCUAUCCCUAAGGCAAUAAGCAACGGUAGAGUUGCUCUAAUCCUAUCCUAGAUGACCUAGUAAUAAUUGAAGAGAUUUUAUUCUAAACCAAGUAUUUUGAGCAGAGUGGAAGUCAUCACUCCGAGUGGAGGCUUGAGCGUUGGCAAAUACUUGGCAUUUUCAGAAAAAUAUUAGAGGAGACUGUUGAGUGACUCAGACAAGAGGAAUCAUGAGUUAAUGCCUAACGCCACCACAAAGGUGCGUGCAAAGCUUGAGGAUAGGUUUUUCCAACAUGCGUGUGAGGAAAGCUUCAUUUCCGUCAUCAAUCAUCGUUAGCUUGGGCAACAUGCCCGCUGUGAAUGGCACAGUCGAUCGUGGCUUGCGAAACGCCAUGUAUUUCAUUGCUUAUGUUCACCAAGUGCCACAUGUUCUGUGAACGGUUGGUUUUGAGUUUUGUAUUUAAACCUUUUCCAUUUUAUUUCUCCAACUUUAUGUUUUCGAGUUUGGACAAAACCCUUACCUUUCUUACUCUUAAAUUUGCUCAGAAAUUCCUUGAAAUCCUCCUCUUCGAAUGUCCCAGUUCUUUCUUAUCCUUCAAUUUCCUUCCAACAUCAUGGCCUCGCCAAACUCCAAAGCCUUGACGUUGGCGAAACCUUCGCCAAAACGCAUGGCCAAUUCAAAAUUUUGCCCCCAAUACCGCAGCUGAUGACGGAUGAUGCAACGAUCUAAAGGUUCUCAGAGGCACACCAAUAGGUACUAGGAGGUUGCCGUCUCAUUUUGGAACCUUGGUGUAUUAGCGUUUACAAAGAUUUGCUAGAAUCACAAUUUUCCGACUGUCCAAGCGCUACAAAUCCACCCUGAUGAAGGAUCAUCUGAGGAGUCACACAUAGAAUUAAAGUCAAAAGGGGCAUCAUCUAAUGAGUAUUCUAUUGCCAAGGAACGUCCUAGGAGGGUGGUUACAAAACCCAUCAAAUUCCAAGAUUAAGAAGGCUAAUAAUGUUAAACUGCUAUGUCUAUUGGGUUCCUCUAUUUAUUUCAUGGACUAGUUUAUGUUCUUUUUAUUGUAUAAAUAACUUGUACAUGGGAUGUGGGAGGAAAGUUUGAUUUGAAUGAAACUACUACUAUUGAGUUAGCUGUCAAGCUUCUCUUUAUUCCAUGCUUGCAUUUUGCUCUACCUUUCCAAUUCUCUAUAGCCCUAAGAGGACCGUAUCACACCCAUGGUAUUUGACUCUUGGGCUUAAGUUCCUGAUGUCGGGAUUAGUGAAUGAGGCAUUGAUCCAUUAUAGCUUGCCCUGACCAACCUUAUGGCCACGGCAUAUAGGUAUACAUCGCAAGUAAUCACGUUCCUAAGAGGGUACAAUAUGUACUUCUUAGAUAUCAUCUGGGGAAGGUUUAAUUCGGAUUUUACUAUCGUAAAAUGGCCAUCUUCUCGACUGGCAUAAAUACACCGUUCUCCAGGGUUUGUCUCUAGUAAUGCAAUCACCGCAUACUUAUUCUCUUGCCUACUGCUUAAGUCUUAAUAUUUUUUUUACUAACUUGACCAUUAGAGAGCCUUUGGACCAGCACAUGCCCCCCUCGCUGCGGUCCUGGGCUUAUUUACUGUUGUUUAUUCUUUUACAAGUUAACGAGUUUUGGCAUCUCCACCACGAGUGACAGUGCGCAAAUUUGGUUCAACAACCACUAAACAUCAAUAUAUUCCACAUAAGAGAGACGGCUAUGGCAAGAAGAGCAGGAGGGAAUGGUUUCUGUUGCCAUUGUUAUUAUUAAUUUUUAAUCCAUAUUGGGUAUCCUUUGUUAUUCGUAAUGCGCAUGAUUUUUGUUUAGAUGUUUGAUCACCAUCUAGGUUUUAAUUAAGAUGAUUUGAUGCAAGUUAGAGUAUACCAUGAAUUCCUUUUUGUAGAUGACAUGCAAUUAGGGUUUAUGUGAUUUGAUGAUUUGCACAAUGCUUGAUGAGUUUUUACUUGUUUAAAUUCGUAUUGAUGCCAUAAAGAGUUAACAUGUAAGGAUACUUUUGAUGCAAUCAGAUGCCAUGACUAUUGAAUAAUUUAGGGAAUAUCAUCAUCAAUAUGGAGAAUUACUUGUUCAUAACAUAUUAAAGGAAUUUAGUAGAAUUGGUUACGGUGAAUCCGGAGCCCUAGGUCUUGUUUUCUAUGUUUCAGUUAAUUUUAUGUGUUUAUUUUUCAAGCUAUAAUAUCAUCUAAUUCGUACUUGUGAGUACUAAAAUUUAAGACUUAAAUAAGGUUAGAUUUGAUUAUCUAGUUUCUGUAACAACUUCUCACCACUUGUCUUGGCGUUAGUCACCCAUAAAACCCCCACACAAGCCACCUCCUUUGCAAGCCAUUAGGUGCAUGGCAAACACCUCAGGGGAACAAGGUUAUCAGCUGAAAAUAUAACCGAUCUGAUUAGUUUGGUGGCCUCUUUUUGCCCACCAUACCCACUAUCGUUAAAUUGAUGAAGAAUAUAUCUGAGAUUGUCAACGCGUUAAGCAUAUAUUAUAAAAUAAACCAACUACAUGAGUUGGAUUGUAAGAAUCGAAUAUAUUCCCGAUUAAAUGCAUUACUAAAGAAUGAUUACUCAUAUUCUCAAUUUGAAAGGGAAUUCCAUUUGAAAGUACAUGGUGGGAUAAGACAAUCUAGUGCUUAGAGCCCAUCCUGACAUCAUUAUCUUCUAGAUUUAAGCUUGACAUAAAUUUUUACUUUGGUAUUUGACAAUGAAAAUCGACAGAACGUGGUCUCUGAGUUUAUCCACCGGAAAUCAUUUUGAUCAUUCGGUGAAAAAUUUGUCAAUAUCCUCGUUAAGUAGAGAAGUUGAUUUGACAAAAAUACUCUUAAACACGUGGCAAUUCACGUGACAAUUAAAAAAUAUAUUGAUAGAUUUUUCACGGAUUGACUAAAAGGAUUUUUUGUGUACAAACUUAAGGGCCACUUUUAUUGAUUUUCAUUUUUAUAGACGAAAAUAAAGAAUUAUGCUAAUUUCAGGAACUAUUUUGAUUAAAAAGCCAAGAAGUAAAAAGUAAUGUGCAAGGGCAAUGCCAAAAUGGUUACCCAUGAUCUUUCUUGUAUACAAAUUUAAGGUCAAACGUAAAAAUUGAAUCUCUUGAUUGGAUUGUCAAGGCAUUUCCAUCUUUGUUAAAAAAUUCUUUGAUGGAAAAAUGUAAAUUAUCCAUCUUCGCUCAUUUCGUCGGAAGAUGUAAAUAAAAAUUUAAAUUUACAUUCUUUUUGCAUCUUUUGGUGUGGGUCCCACUAAUCAUAAAGAGAAAAUUAAAUGAGAUCUGAAAUUUACAUCUGUCUUAGACCAUUUCUUAGCCUGAUAUUAUUAAAAAACGAACUUAGGAUAAUUUUGUUCUUAAAGUAAUUUUUUUUUAAUUUUAUGAACAUUUUAACCUAAAAAUAUUUAGAUUUCGAUAAAUAUUAAAAAAUCACUAAACCGACACCAUGAAACUCGUGGAACACGAUGAAAGAAUAUGAAACACAUGAAAGAAUUUUUUUAUUAAUUUUAGCUGUUGGAUUUAAAUUUGGAUCGUUAGAUUCUUUUUUUACUGUUAGAUUUGAUCGUAUUAGAUUUUAGUCGUUGGAUUCAAUGAAUUUGUAAAUAUAAAACUAAAAAGAAAUAUACAUAUAUGGUAUAAAUUUGGGGGAAUCUUGGGAUAAAUUUGCCCCAAAAAAGAGUUUUAGAUUAAAACUCAUAUUUGCCAGAAGAGUUGGAGAACGUUGGGAUAAGUUUAGAACCUAAAAUUUGAGUUUUACUCUAAGGAUUGGAAUAUGUCUUUUGGAGUAGAAUUUUUAUUUUGCAUCUGUCUGAAAUGUCAAAUACGAUGUAAAUAUGUUUUUCAUCUCAAAUUGGCAUUUUAUUUCAUUGUAAAGUCCUCCUCAUUUGAAGUACUAUAGUUCCCACUGUGAUUUACUUCUAUUAUCAGUUUUUAGACAAGUUUGCAUUUUCUAGAGCAUCUCAAAUUAUCUUCUCUACUUUUUCAUUAAAUUUUAGCUAUCAAAGGCUUAAAAGCUAUUAUAAGAGAGAUUAAUGAAUAUGAACCAUUAUUCACUAAUUUGGAAAGCCAUAAAAAAGGCUAAAAACCUAUUAAAAGAGCCUAAAAUUUUCUAUUACAACUAUAUUCUAUGAAUUUUUUUUUUUUUUUUUUGACAAAAACUUGAUAUUUUCUUGAAAUCAAAUGUACUACAUCAACUCCUGGCUGAAGGAUGUCUUGAAUGAGAUCAGCUGGUCUUCUAACCAUACAUUUUUUUUUAUUGCCAAUAGAAAUGGCAAACUUAGCUAAUCUAUGGGCAACCCCAUUACAUGUUCUUGGCACGUGCACAAAAUUGACCAGGGAAAGAAACUCCGCCACUUGCCUGACAUCCUUUGCUAGCAAACCAAACUAGGACAAAUCCUGAGAGUAGUUAUUGAUAACAAUAAUAGCUAGAGCGGAAUCACUCUUCACAAUAACCUGUCUAACCCGUAACAUCCCUGCUAGCCGAAGGCCCUCCAAAACUGCCAAAAACUCCACAUGAAGAGCAUACCCAAUACCCUCAUUCCUUCAUGCUCCCGCUAUUAAAAACUUUCACGUCAAUCCCUUAACACAGCUCCCACUUCCCUAGAAAAAUGCUCCAGCCUUGUGGCCCCAUCAACAUCUAUUUUGACCCACCCAUCAGAGGGGGUCAUCCAUUUGAGUUGAGGAACUGGCUUUGGCACAUUCUGCAUUUCAUGGGCUGCCAAAAAUAACUGAUACCAACUCACCACCUUCUGCAUUACCUCCAUAGGUUGUCCACGAUGCUCAUCCCAUACCAAAGAGUUACGUGUCUACCAUAGCCCCAAAACCAUGCAAACAACAUCAAAUUUAGCUCUUUGAUUCUCAACUACUGAAAGUAGCCACUCACGCAUCAACACUCCCGGUACCGAUAAGGUACUAACCCCCAGCGAAGACCCCAAUCACAUAGCCUUCGCAAAAACACAUCAUGGAACACAUGCUCAUCUCAAGGUGCACCCCUUUCCUUGCAAGAUUAAAUUUAGUCGGAAUAAUGUCCUUAUUUCGCGUAAAAAUUUUCACCUUAGGGGGAAUCUUAGCCCUCUAUAUUGACUUCCAAAGAGGUGAAAAAGCAUUGCUCCCCUCCGACGUAGACGCACCAGUCUAGUUAGAUUGCACCAACUCCCUAUCCACUGCUAACCGUAUACUCAUGCUGAGAAUUAUAAUGCCAAACUAACUGAUCCGGCAGUAUGCGAAAACUGAUCGGCAUAGUACUAAUCAAACCCACCACCUCCUCUGAAAACAAAGCGUGUAACUCAACUAAUUUCCACGAGCAAGACUCCGUAUCAAUUAGCUCCUAGACACGCAUAUUCUCCUGAUCAACAGCAACAAUAGAAAUGACUUUGAAAGAGUGAGGUCUUGGUAGCCAUCUAUCCUUCCACACCUUAAUAGACGCAUCAUUCCCAACAACCCAUUUGGAACCAUGGACCAACACUAUGCCUUUAAUAUACUAGACCAACAAUACGAACAACUCUUUGAAACAGUUGCCUCCCAAAAGGAUAUGGUGGGAAAAUAACGGGCCUUGAAUAAUUGUGCCACCAAAGAAUCUGGUUGCUGGAAAACACGCCACCCCUGCUUAGCUAAAAGUGGCCCAAAAUAGCUAAGUUAAAUGCAAAUAAGUCCCGAAAGCCCAUACCCCCUCCUGCUUCAGUUUGCAAAGCUUUUCCCAAGACCACUAAUGUAUAUUCCUUGCAUUCGGAUCACUGCCCCACUAGAACCAAGCCAUCAGUUUAUGAAGAUCAUCACAAAAAGUCAGGGAAGCAAGAAACAAUUCAUAGCAUAAGCCGGAAGUGCCUAAGCAACCACUUUAAUAAGAAGCUCACGCCUCACACUACUCAAACAUUUUCCUUUCCACCCACAUAGCCUAUUCAGAACCGUUCCUUGAUGUAUGAGAAUGUUUGUUUCUUAUUUUUCCAAGUAGGAAGCCCCACGUAGCAUUCAUGUUGCUCCACCACUUGGACACCAAGAAACCCGGCCAUAGAAAUCUACUCCCUCGAACCAACAUUUGCACUGAAAAGCAACACUAUUCUUUGAAAAAUUUACUACUUGUCCCGACGCUUAAGAGUAUACAUCAAAUAUAUGUUGAAUAAUUGCACACUCAUCAAGACCAGCUUUCCCCGAAUAGAAAACUAUCAUCAACAAAGAGUAAGUGAUGAAUAUUCGAUGCACCCUCAUAAAUACAAAUACUGUUAAGAGCACCACAUUGCUUCUUUUUGGCAAUAAGUGCCAAAAGACCCUCCGCACAUAAUAGGAAAAGAUAUUGUGAAAUUAGGACCCCUUGUCGGGGUCCACGGGAUGACACAACAUAGCCCUUAAGCUCCCUAUUAAUUAAGAAAGAAUAGGAAAUGGAUGGCAUACAAGCCAUAAUCACUCUGAUCCAUUCCCUAGCAAACCCCAACCUAACCAUCAUAGCUUUUAGGAAUUUCCAUUUAACACGGUCGUAUGCUUUGCUAAAGUCCAAUUUCAAAGCCAAAUACCCUUCUGGACAACAUCGUUUGUUAUGGAGAAAAUGCCCAAUCUCCUCAGCCACUAACGAAUUAUCAGAGAUAAAUUUGCCAAGGACAAAUGCACUAUGAUGUGGAGAGAUAAUAGUACACAAAAUCCCUUUGAGACGAUUAGCUAACACUUUAGCCCAAAUCUUAUACACUACAUUGCGUACACUAAUCGGCCUUAGUUGAGUCAUAUCUUAAGGUUCAUUAACUUUUGGAAUAAGUACAAUAUGCGUAAAGCAAGCUUCAUGCAACAAACAACCCGACGUCAAGAAAGACCGAAUAGUCUCCACCACAUUCGCCCCCACAAUAUACCAAAAUUUUUGAUAGAAAAGCGAAGACAUUCCGUCUGGUCCCGGAGACUUGAAAGGAUGCAUUUUAAACAGAGCCAACUUAAUCUCCUCUUCCGUAUAAGGUUUCACUAACUCUGCAUUCAUCUUUGGAGUGACUUUUGGAACCACCGCAUCUGUCACUUCACUCAUGGCAUUUGGAAAAACCCCUUGGGACCAAAAAAUCUUCCUAAAAUAAUCCACCAUUGUAUGCUCGAUACCAUCAGGAGACACUUUCCAAAUCCCAGCCUCAUCCCUUAAUGGUAUUUUUCCUACUCUGAUUCUAAGCACGUUGGUGAAAGAAUUUUGUAUUCCGAUCCAUUUCCUUCAGCCAAUGUGUUCGAGACCGUUGUUGCCAAAACGUCUCUUCUCUAUUCAGCAGUGAAUCCGAAGUACCCAUUAACUCCCUCUACACGCCUUCAACUCCAUCGAUGGUGGGUGCUUAAGCAAGACACCCAAGUUCUCUUGGACCUUCACAAUUUCCAAUCUGUCCAACCAAGCACAUUGCGCUGCCACUCCAACAAUGCCACACGUAUGGCACGAAUCUUCUCACAAACCUGGAAUAACAAGACUCCCGUAAUCGGAACGCCCAAGCACUCUAAAUGACAUUCUCACAACAUUCCCCUUGUAACCACAUUUCCUUAAACCAAAACCUCCUUCCCUUCCUAGCUCGCUCCACCGAAGAACUCCGAAUCUCCAUCAACACCAGUAAAUGAUUAAACUUGGACGAGCUCAAGUGACACACCCUAGACAACAGAAACUGACCCAACCAUGAAUUAGUGGCCAACGCAUGGUCCAAUCUGCACCUUACCUCAUCAUCCCUAUUAUCCGUCGAAGUAAAAUCACAUCCAACAUAAUCCAUGUCAAGCAAUUGACAGUUUUAGAUCGUAGCCUGAAACCCAUCCAUUUGACUCUCCCGUCUCACAUUACCACCAAGUUGCUCCUGCACUCUUAGAAUUUCAUUAAAAUCCUCAAGACAAAGCCAGGGUAAAGACCUUUUCUGCCUAAGAGAAGACAACAAAGACCAUGAUCAAUGCAGAUUCGUCGUCACUGGAUGACCAUAAAACCUGGUCAAUUGCCACCAAUGGUCCAUCCCGCCCUCCCUGCACACUGUGUCUAUAGGAUUCAACGACAACGAAACAUAACGAGAAAAUUAAAUGAGAUAUGAAAUUUACAUUCUUUUUGCAUCUUUUGGUGUGGGUCCCACUAAUCAUAAAGAGAAAAUUGAAUGAGAUUAGAAAUUUACAUCUGUCUUAUACCAUUUCCAACCCUUGGAUUAAAACCUGAAGAGAAAAUUAAAUGAGAUAUGAAAUUUACAUUCUUUUUGCAUCUUUUGGUAUGGGUCCCACUAAUCAUAAAGAGAAAAUUGAAUAAGAUCAGAAAUUUACAUCUGUCUUAUACCAUUUCCAACCUUUGGAUUAAACCCUGAAAUUUUUAAUCCAGAAAAUUUAGGUUCUAACCUAGAAACAAUUUUUUUCUCCAACCCUUAUGGGUUAAAUUUUUAACCUAAUAUUAUUAAAGAACGAAUUUAGGAUAAUUUUGUUCUUAAAGUAACUUUUCUUUUAAUUUUAUGAACAUUUUAACCUAAAAAUAUUUAGAUUUCGAUAAAUAUUAAAAAAUUACUACCUUUAGAUUUGAUCAUAUUAGAUCUUAGUCGUUGAAUUUAAUGAAUUUGUAAAAUAUAAAACUAAAAAGAAAUACAAAUAUAUGGUAGGCUAGCCCACUAACUCAGGGAGAAUCUUGGGAUAAAUUUGCCCCAAAAAUGAGUUUUGGAUUAAAACUCAUAUUUGGCCCAAGAGUUGGAGCAAGUUGGGAUAGGUUUAGAACCAAAAAUUUGAGUUUUACUCUUAAGGGUUGAAAUAGGUCUUUUGGAGUAGAAUUUUUAUUUUGCAUUUGUCUGAAAUGUCAAAUAUGAUGUAAAUAUGUUUUUCAUCUCAAAUUGGCAUUUUUCUCAUUGUAAAGUCCUCCUCAUUUGAAGUACUAUAGUUCCCAUUUUAUUAGUUCCCACUAUGAUUAACUUCUAUUAUCAGUUUUUAGACAAGUUUGCAUUUUCUAGAGCAUCUCAAAUUAUGUUCUCUACUUUAAAGCUAUUAUAAGAGAGAUUAAUGAAUAUGAACCAUUAUUGUCAUAGCCCGUCCCGAAAUAUUACAUUUUUAGACCUGAAAUGUCAAAUAUGCCCUUGAGCGUUUAUGGUGUUAUGUGAUUUAAAUUUUGGAUUUGGUCAAAUUCGUUAAGUCCCAAAUAUUUUGGAACCAAUUAGAACUAAAGGACUUAAGGUUCUAAUUGUUUUGUUUGGUUGGUUGUAGGAGGAUUAGGACCACACAUUUACACUUUCCCUCUCUCUCUCUCUCCCUCUCUCCCGUUGACCCUCUCUUUCUCUCUCUUCCCUCUCGGUUCUUCUCCAUUUUCGUACUGUACGUACGUACGAACGAAACUCAACCAACCUAUCUCUUCACGGAUCAUGGUUGUGAAGACCAUUUUCAAGUUCCUUACGAGCCCAUGAACCCAGUGAUACUAUUAUUUGGACGUGAAACCUUGAAAAACCCGAGAAACCAUAACCUCCAAUUUGAGGUACUGUUCAUGCACACGUAAAUGUGUAGUUUUCUGAGAGUUUUGAAGUUAUAGGGAGCUUUAGAUCGUCUUCACGAGGCUUGGAGAAGAAAAAUGAAGUGAUUUGGACGUCGGGAAGCUCAGGAAUAGGGAGUUGCAGGUUUAGUCGGAACAUCGAAGGAUUUUUCGACGAGUUCCAUCGGUUUUAGGACGAGAUAUGAAGGUUUUCGUGAUUUUCCAGUUUUCGGUGAAUGGCGACGGCGACCGGCAAGGCUAACCGGAGAGGAAGAUAGAAUAUUCCUUCAAAGUUGACGGAAUAUUUUGACGCCGUAAGGUAGAAUUAACAGUUUCUGUUACUUUUUAACGGAAUAUUCCUAACGGGGUUAAGGGAUUCCAAUAGGGUCCCUGCGUGUGGCCGCGUGUGUUGCCGUGCCCUUGUCGGAGCGUGGUGGCAUGUGGGACGUCGGAAAAAUUUUCUAAAAAUAUGGGGAUGUUGAGGUUGUGUAGAUCACAUUGGUAUAUUCAAACAUCCCAUUUGAGCAAUGUAUGAGAAGUUAUUAGCUAGUAUUCGUUAUGUGCUUUAAAUUAACGUUUUUAUAGUUGUUUCGCAUAUAGGGGAGACUUAUCCCGAGGACGAGCGCGGUCAAGGGCGACUCGGGGGCUACGACUCUUUGACAUACCAGUGAGUGGGCUUUUGGUUUUCAGUAUAUACUUAUAUACUUGAUAUUUUCCCAGAAAAUGCGUUUAAAUGAAAGUAUGCCUUGAAAUGCCAUGCAUAUAAAUUUAUGUUCAAUAUAUGAAUUAGUAUAUGAUGCAUACUAUAUAAUUGUGGUGAUGUGGACACUCAGGUAAGUCCAAGUGAGUUUAUGAAUUGUAAAUGUGAAUAAUGAUUAUGAUUAAUUGAGAAGUAUAGAGCUCAUAAACCUGCACCUCGAUGUUCGUGAUUAGUCAGAGAUAUGACACAUGCUUGUAUAUAAUGUCACCUCCUGCACCCUAUGCUCACAUUGGAUCCAAUACAGACCAUUAUAGGUGAUUCCAACUCGUAGAUGACUAGCGAUUUAUCGCACAGCUAUCAUGAGAGCGUAGUAUUGAGCAUAAUUAUAUUACACCCAGUCUUGUUGUACAGACCUUUUCAGUGGUUCCAACUUGUGUGCAGUGUAGUGCCGUAUAGGUCAUUUGCAGUGACUCUGGUUAGAUUGACUAAUGAGCUAUGAAUGCAACCGUACAGACUUCUGCAGGGAUUCCGGCUAAUGUGUUAUUUUCCAUGAAUUUACUUUCACAUGAGUUACUUAUCUUGUUUAUAUCUUGGCAUGACAUACUUAUGAUUAUGAAUAUGUGUAGCAUGAUUUGAAUUGAUAUAUAUAGAUAUAUGUAUACGUUUAUAUUCUAUUUCUAGGAAAAAGUAUACAUGUUUUACGGCGAGGGGUUAGAGCACUUGAAAGUUAAAUGUGUUCUUAAAACCCUUGUUUUUGCCCACUCACGUUUUCUGUUUUGCGCCCCUCCAGGUUUUAGGUAGAAUUGCUGUUGGUGGCAUUGAGGAUCUCGAUGGUUCUGAUAGAAUAAAAUAUUCGUAGGAUAUCUUCUGGUACUAUAUAACUAGUACUUGUCCUACUGGACUGCACCUAGAUUUUCUAUGCUCUGAUUAGGAGUAUUUACUCUUGUAUCUCACUCCUAGCACUUUCCUGCUUAUUAGUGCACAUUAGUACCUUUCGGUUUUUAUUUAUUCGUAUAUUUCUUAUCCUUAUCGCUUCCGCACUGUGCACAUGGCUACGUCACCCUCAUGUUAUGGCCAGCAUACCUCAAUCUCGGUCGGGAUGUGUCAAUUAUUCACUAAUUUGGAAAGCCAUUAAAAAUGCUAAAACCUAUUAAAAGAGCCUAAAAAUUUCUAUUACAACCAUAUUCUCAGAUUUGGGAAGUCAUAAUGAAUAUGAACGAAUAGAAAUAAGUUUUUAAUUUAAAAAGUUAUUAAAAGUAACGAUUAAUGCUAAAAGCUCUUAGGAGUUUCUUUCUUAUUCUCUAAAUUUAGGAGCUUGUAAAAUUGAUUUCUUUUUGUACAAAAAAACCACCCACAAUAUUAAAAGUUGCACCAGCUCAUUUUUUUUUGUUUGUUGAGACAAGCAAUAUUAUUCUAAAUUAAUCUAUGGUCCAAGAAAGGAAGUUCAAACCCUAGCACGCAUAAGAAGCAUACGUUCAUUUUGGACAAUAUGAUUAUGCUCAAACCUGAUGUAUUAAGAAUAUUUCUCUUCUUUGGGAGAGGUCACAAGCUCGAACAUUCUUAAAAGAUUAAGAAAUAAAAAAACUCUUUACAAAAGAUAAUAAUAUGUAUAUAUAUCAAGCUCUUUAUGCAAAGGGAUCCCCAUUUAAAAAAAAAAAAUAGGGAUUAGGUGUGGGGCCCACUCCACAUCGAACUUCAAUGAUCUGAACCUUCUAUUUUGUAAGUCCCGAUUCAUAGAUGAUUCUUGUAAAAAUUCAAUUCAAUUCGAAACCAUUUGCCUAUUUAAUUAUCAAGAUAAAAUUUCAUUGUUUCUUAUUAACAAAGUAUUCGUUAAUUUUUUGAACCCAAUACGAAGUCUUAAAUAUUUUCUAUUUGGCUAAUAGUUUGCAAGGAUGAUCUAUGAGAUGCAACUUGAAAAUAAACAAUUCACAUCGUUACAACUAAUCCCUAUUUUAUUAAUUUUUAAUUAGUUUAAUCAUUUAUUAUAAUUAAUAUUGAGUUGAUUGAUGUAAUUAUUCUACUUUUUUCUUCUUUUCAAUCAAGGAAGGUGAACAGAUUACUGAUUAAACUUUAAAUAUCCUUUAUUAAAUUUUAAUUAGUUUAAUAAUUUAUUUUAUAAAAUAAUAAAAUAAUAAUUUAAUUUGACAUAUCGUUUGGCGAACAAAACCUUAAAGGAUGUCAAAGUGCCAAAUAAUCCGUCAAAAUUUAAAUUUUAUGAUCAAAAUUUGACAUCUCCUUUGGAGAUGGUCUUAGAUUUUAUAACAUCUAAGGAUUUUUAUUUAUUCAUUAAAUGACAUGGGUGCUUAUGUGAAUUUUAACUAAUACUAAUGAUAAAAACUAAAACUGAAAAAACAUAAAAUUUGGGAAAUAAAAAUAAAUUUUAAAAAGGAAAGAAACCCUAACUAGUUGUAAAAACUACCCCCAGACUUUUAGCCAAUAACAAAAACAAUGAAAUCUCUUCUUAAUUUGCUGAUGGCCGACCGACCAAAAGGGUUUUGGAUUCUUAGUUGUUUUGAAUGUGUUAGAGAAAAUAAUAUUGAAUGAACAACUGAUUGAAUCACAUUAUUGCGAACCCAUUGUGAGAUUAAGCACACCCCUCCCCUUAGUGUAGAUAAUAUAAAAUUAAUAAUCAUUUGACAACUAAUUUAAUCACAUUAUUACUUGCCCAUUGUGAGGUUAAGCCUAUCCCCUCUCCCUUAGUAUAGAUAAUAUUGUUUGUUAAAAAAAAAAAAAUUAACAACUAAUUUAAUCACAUUAUUGCUAGCCUAUUGUGAGACAAUAAUUAAAAAAAUAAAAAAAAAGCACAAAAAAAUUAAUUAUAAAAAAAAUUACUGUUAAAACGAUGAAAAUGCCCAUGGCUUAUUUGAUGCGUUAUUUUAGGAUGCCUUUGAAGUUUUUUUGUCCUGAGGGCAUUUUUGUCCAAAUAUUUUGUUGAGGCAUGAUGACACCAAAAUCACUAUUAACCUUUCCAUUAGCUUUAUAUAUGUCUAUGUAUAUAUAUAUGUAUCUGUAUAGGUAUGUAUAUGUAUAUGUAUAUGUAUAUGAGGGAGAUGAUGAUGAUGAACUUGCCGCCCGCCGUAUGCGUGGAGCGUGCGAGUGUGAAAUUGGUGUGCGACCGCUUAAGUGCUUACCGACCGAGUUUCAAAGUUUUCUCAAAAUUGGUGGUCUUAUGCAUCAUCGUUCUGGUUUACUGGGGGUCCAGACUCCAUACUUCCUUCCCCCCCCCCCCCCCCCCCCCACUCACAACCCCACUUUACCCUCCUCUCAUUCAUCCCCUGAUACCUCCACUUUCUUCUCCAAAGAAACAAAUAAAGAUUUCAAAGAACAUAUUCUUUGCUUUUAAUUUCAGCCUGCGCCAUUCGUUUUUCUAAAGUUCGAGAGAGAACCCAAACCCCCUCCCUAUCCAUUUGAUUUAAAGCUCCUUCCUUUACAGCCCCUCUUGCUUUUUUUUUUUGUUUUGUUUUUUUCCCCCAUGGAAUGAAAGUCUUUGGAGGUCCAGAAGGCCAAAGCAGUGUCCUUUAUUCUUAUUCUUAUGCUUUCCUCUCUGGCUUUAAUUUGUUCUUGGUUCUUGAAAGAUUGAGUAUUUUUUUUUCUGGGUGAAUUCAAGAAAAAUACUUGGAGAUGGAACGUGGGGUUCUUGAUAGUUUAAUCAAUAGGCUUCUUGAAGUGAGAGGCAGACCAGGGAAGCAAGUGCAGCUUCAGGAGAGUGAGAUGAGGCAGCUGUGUCUUGUCUCCAAGGAUAUUUUUCUGAGGCAGCCUAAUCUUUUGGAGCUUGAUGCUCCUAUCAAGAUUUGUGGUACUUUUACCUCAACCCCCAUACUCUGUUUUAUCUUAUUUUAGUUUAAAAUUUAAUAUAUUAAUUAUCUUAGUUUACUUGUACUUCGAUCAAUUUUGAGUUUGGAUUUAUAGGUCCGCAUCAUAAGUUUGAUUCGCUUGAACUGGGUUGCGAUCAAAUAUGGAGAUGAAUAAUCUGUGUUUCCAUCUUUGAGUGACUGACAAGAAAUCAAGACCGGUAAAAUAUGUCAUAAAGUUCAAUGGUUAGGAACAUCAGUAUAUAUCCUUACUUGGGAUAUGUCUUAUAAGACAGAGUGCUAUAAAUAAACAAGUGAUCAAGUUGGAUCCACUGCUUUUGAGAAAUUCAUUCUUGAAUCCAUUGUUAUGGUUUGAUGACGGGCCAUUUUAGUUUAUGAGUAAAAAUUUGUGAGCUGUGAUCAGUUACAUAGAGUGAUGCAUAGUUAGGAUAUGAACCAUUAUCCCAGCCUGAUACGUGUGGCAUUUUGGGGUCUCACGCUUCCAUUAUCACGCAGUUGAGUGUUUUCAUUUCUCCUUUGUAACACAUGCACAGUAGAGAGAAAAUGUUGUGUAGGACAAUAGAUAAUGACAACUUAUUUCUUCUGGUGUCAGAAGUAGUUUUUGUUUCAUUUACUUUUGUAAAGUUGUUCGUAUCCGAAAUUCAUCUGCUAGAAAUACUUCUUGCUGUUCCACUUUGAAAAACCAAGUUUCUGCCUGAGAGAUAAUGUCAAAAUGAUUUCUUGUGGGCCAGUUAUCCCUAUUAACCAAAACCCUAUAACUUCAGUUCUUUAUGUUCUCUAGUUGGAAGUCGAGAUAUCCUUCUCUCUAAAAGCAGAGCUCUAGGUCGAUGUUAUAUGUAUCCGCAUUGAAAUUUUGACAUUCCAUGCCUGUAUCCACACUGCGGUGUAGUUUUUGAAUUCUUCUAGCAUAAAAUUGUUAUAUUUCUGAGAUGUUGCAAAGACUAAGCAUUGAAAGGUAUGAAUUCUUGAUAGUUUCAGCCAUAAUCUAUUCAUUUAUAUGCAUGUUUACAUUUUUCCCUUAAGAAAAAAGAGAAACGUAAUCGGAUUUCAUAUGGGUUUCUUUACAUCACACAGGUGAUAUUCAUGGUCAGUAUGCAGAUCUUCUGAGGCUUUUUGAGUAUGGUGGAUUACCCUCUCAGUCCAACUAUCUGUUCUUGGGGGAUUAUGUUGAUCGCGGGAAGCAAAGCCUAGAAACAAUAUGCCUUCUCCUUGCAUAUAAAAUUAAGUAUCCUGAGAAUUUUUUCCUUCUGAGGGGUAACCAUGAAUGUGCUUCAAUAAACCGAAUAUAUGGCUUUUAUGAUGAGUGUAAACGAAGAUUCAAUGUCAAACUCUGGAAAGUGUUUACAGAUUGUUUCAACUGCCUUCCCGUGGCAGCUCUCAUUGAUGAAAAAAUACUCUGCAUGCAUGGAGGGCUAUCUCCCGAGUUAAACAAUUUAAAUCAGAUCAAGACCUUAAAGCGACCUACUGAUGUCCCAGAUAGUGGUUUGCUAUGUGAUCUCCUGUGGUCUGAUCCUAGCAAAGACAUUCGAGGUUGGGGACCAAAUGAUAGGGGAGUUUCCUUUACCUUCGGUGCUGAUAGGGUAACAGAGUUUCUUCAGAAGCUUGAUCUAGAUUUAAUUUGUCGAGCUCACCAGGUCUGAAAUUUUUUUAAUUUGAGAAUUUUCCAAUACCAUACAACCGAGAGUUCCUUCCACUGAUGCCUUGUUUAUAUUUGCAGGUUGUCGAAGAUGGAUAUGAGUUCUUUGCGAAUAGGCAACUUGUGACAAUAUUUUCAGCACCUAAUUACUGUGGUGAGUUUGACAAUGCUGGGGCAAUGAUGAGUGUCGAUGAGUCUCUUAUGUGCUCUUUCCAGAUAUUGAAGCCUGAUAAGAAGCCAAAGUUUAGCUUUGGGAGUAGAGCUGCACCUAAGCCGGGUACUCCAUUGAAAGCCAAGGUAUCAUCCAUCUCACUCUAUGAACGAAACUCUUUUUUGUAGUUUAUAAUCAUCGUAACCUUUUACAUAUUGGUAUUUGUUGGAAACAGAUGAAAAAGUAGAGAAUUAUAUAGAAAAAUUCCAACUAUCGUCCAUGCUGAUGUUAGCCUAGAAAAUCACUGCAAAUUAAUAUAAUGCAUCUAAGUUGGUUAGUUGUGGAGUUUUAAUUUCAACAAUUUUUGAGUGCUAAUGAGAGCUCCAAUCAAGUCUCUGUGUGAGUUAAACAUUUUUGUUGUCGUAUUUUAUUGGUAAAAAAAUAUUCUCUCAAGUAUCCGAACUAGGUGUCUGUUAAGAGUUGGUACCUCGGUUUAUGCUAUUUAAUUUUCAUUCUUCCUUGUUAUGUUGUCGGCUGCAUAUUUUACUGGAUUUUGAUAUUAUCUGCGCUUUAUUAGCCUUCAUCUUAUAGAUGAAACUUGCCUUCCCUUGUUAUGAUAUGUAUUUUUUUUUACCUCCAGUCGUUUCUUGGUGCAAUGGCGUAAGGUAUUGCGAUCGGAGAUUUCUGAAGAAAGUACCUGCCUUAAGUCGGAAAUAGGCAACGUGCCGGUUUAACUGUUUAAGUCCUCUAAUUGUUUUCAAUACAAAAACACAAAAUCGCAACUUCUUUCAGCUAGAGAGAGUGCAGAAGAUCUUCCCAGAAAAUGUGCAAUGCCCUUGUAUGCAGUGGAGACUAGUACUACACAGCCCACUCUAUGCAAGAGCAAUAGGUAAAAAGUUGGAAAAAGAGUUUUUUUUUUUCCUUUUCCUUUUUCUUUUUUCUUUUUUGUGUUUUUUGGGUGGGUUGUUUGAGUCUUGCUUUUCAUGUAAAAUAAAAAAUAGUUGUAAGACUCGGUUGAUUAUUCUCAUAUCAGUGUUGAAUCUGUGUAUUAAUCAAGGAACGAAAAUAGUAAGUGUCCUUGGAAGUCCUUGGAAGGGGAAAAGGAUCCUCGCCAGAUUCUUUUUCUGGUGAUCCUGGGAAUCGUGUAAUCAUGUAUGUUUAUUGUACAUCGUGCGAUCAGUUUUCGUUAGGUACUAUUUAUAUUUAAUUUUAAAUUUUAAAUUUAAAAUAAUUUAUGAUCGUACUAUGUACGAUGAACGGAUAUGAUUAUACGAUUCCUGGAAUCUCCAGGAAAAGGAUCCGGCGAGGAUCCUUUUCCCUUGGAAGGUCUUUUGACCACUCAAUAAUAGCAAGUGUAAUUAAAAAUUUUAUUUUUACUAUUUAUUUGUACCAUUUCUUUAAUAAAGAUGAGACUAACAUACUUAGUGGACUCUACUUCUAAUAUUUAUUAAAGAGAUGGUGCAAAUGAUGAUACAAAUAGAUAGUAAUUGUAGCAUUACUCAAGAGCAAUUUAGCCAAAUAAAAAAAAAACUAAAACUAAAAGAAUGAGGAUAAAGCAUUGAUUAUGUAUAUCUUGUCCACAUUUGAAAUAAUACACUUCCCACCACUAAAAGCAGUGGUGAUUUAUGCUCUCCUCUUACACCGAAAAAAAAACAUAACACUAAAUAUACAUAAUCACGAAUAUACAUAUACAUAAACAAAAAUUAGCAAAUUAAGCACAUGAUUACAAUGGAGCAAAAAAUAAUUUCAAAAAUUCAAAAGACAACACAUGGAUUUUUUUCUUCAAAAAAGAUGACAUUGUCCUCAUUUAAUAGGCAAGACAUAAAAAUGUUUCCACGCGCAGUUCAACAUCCUGGAGGCUUGAACAGUUGACUCUGACUAUACCAAGCUCCACUGCUCGUGGCAUGAAAAUGUUGAAGACAUUAAAGAUAUAAUUAAUCACCAAAUCGUAUCUUUAAUACAUUCCUAAUUGAAGAUCUAAUAGCUAUAGUUAACAAGAAUGCCAGGUGGCAAUUAGUACAAGAGGUAGCUUACAGAGUAAGCUUUGCGAUUAUUAGUUGUAUUACAGAAAUCUCUCUCUCUCUCUUUCUUUCUUUUGUACUGCAUAUUUUCUGAAUUGAUCUCGAUCUUUCUAUGAGCUUCUAAGUUGGUUAUGAUGGUAUCUCAAGGGACUUGUGAUUCACUGUGGAUUGUAGAGUUCUUGAUUGACGGGCGCUUAAUUUCGCUGCGGGUUGUUGGUACGCCCCAAUCGGCUCAGAAGCUAAUAUUGAUAGAAAUAAAAGAACAAUGCAGGAAUUUAAAAGGGAGAGAAAGAGAGAAGUCGAAGAUAGGGAAGAGAAGGGUUCCUUUUUCAUUCAUAACCCCUCGGGCUGAGUUUAACAUAUAUAUAUAACAAGCCAAUAAAGGGAAACCCUAGCUACGACGCUUGGGCUUGAAGCCAAGACAAAGUAAAUAUUAACGAAAGGCCUGGGACUGAAGAAGAGGGGUAAGGCCCAACAGUAAGGUCCUAACAACUCCCCCCUUUCUUGAGAAGGAACCUGUCCUCAGGUUCGAAAGGCGGGAUAGCGGGCGAUGAUCUCGUCGGCGUCCUCCCCAUGUGGCAUCUUCUGCAGGAAGGCCGGACCACUGUAUGAGCCAUUUGGUGACUGCAACGUUCUUCUUCUUGAACAUCCCUCUGUCUAAAACCUUCUCAGGUUGCCAAUGCAAGUGACCUGUAGAGUCAAUAGGUGGCAGGAUUGGAGUAGGAGAAUGGCAGCGCCGAUCUUCUUCUUGAGCAGAGAGACAUGGAAGACUGGGUGUAUUUUUGAGUCAGGAGGAAAAUGCAAAUGGUAAGCCACUUGACCUAUACAAGCUUUCACCUGGAACGGGCCAUAAAACUUGGGUGCAAGUUUGUUGAAAUGCCAAGUGGCCACAGAUUGCUGGCGAUAUGGCUGGAGCUUGAGAUAGACCCAAUCACCCACAUUGAAUUGGCGUUCCGUUCGUCUUUUAUCGUAAACUUGUUUCAUUCGAUUCUAUGCCAGUUGCAAAUUAGCACGCAAGAGACGGAGUAGCUUGUCACGGUCCUGCAACGCCACAUCAACCGAGUGAACGACCAUAGUUCCAGGGAUGUAGGAGGUAAUGGUUGGGGGUGGUAGUCCAUAUAGCGCUUGAAAGGGGGACAUUUUUAUGGCAUAUUGAAAAGUGGUGUUGUACCACCACUCAGCCCAUGGAAGAAGAGUAACCCACUUGUGAGGAUGAUCUGCGGAAAAACAUCGAGGAAAUGCUCGAGUGUGCGGUUUAGGACUUCUGAUUGGCCAUCAAAUUGCGGGUGGUAUACGGAGCUACAACACAGUUUGGUGCCCUGUUUGCUGAAAAACUCUUGCCAAAAGUGACUUAGAAAAGUUGGGUCAUGAUCCGAUACAAUUGAUUUUGGCAUGCCAUGGAGACGAAAGAUUUCCUUGAUGAAUGUGUCAGCAACUGUUGCAACCGUGUAUGGGUGCUUCAGUGGGAUGAAAUGGCCAUAUUUGGUGAGGCGGUCUACAACGACCAAAAUGACUGUGUAGCCAUUGGAAGACGGUAAGCCUUCGACGAAGUCAAGAGCGAUAUCCUGCCAUAUGUCGGCGGGAAUGGGGAGCGGUUGCAGGAGACUUGGUGGGUGAAUAGUCUCAUGAUUCUGACGUUGGCAUUCCGAGCAUGUGGCUACAAAAGUUUUACAUCCUUACGAAUGCCUGGCCAAAGAAAGUUACGAGAGACUCGGUUGUAAGUACGGAGAAAGCCGGAGUGGCCACCUUGCAGCGAGAAGUGGAAUUCGUCAAGGAUCUUUGGCCUCCAUUGGGAUGUAAGGGGAACAAAAAUUCUCUGUUUGUAAUGAAGGACACCAUUGACAAGUGUGAAGCCCUGCACACUACUGUUUGGUGUUUGGAGUAGUGAAGGCCAAAGUGUUUGAACCUGAGGGUCUGUAGCAUAUGAUUGUUGCAGUUCUGGUAUACAAUCAAACACUGGAGAGGACAACCCCAUAAGAGGCAGCAGCUCAUGUUGGCGAGAUAGUGCAUCCGGAGCUCCGUUUUGGGAACCCAGUCUGUAGUCCACUGUGUAAUUAUAACCAAGCAGCUUAACAAGCCAUUUGUGUUGUUGUGGAGUUGUGAUACGUUGCUCAAGGAAGAAUUUGAUGGGUUUGUGAUCAGUGACAAUCCCAAAUUGUUGACCCAAGAGAUAAUGGCGCCAAUGUUGUACAGCAAAGACGAUGGCAAACAUUUCCUUGUCAUACGUAGAGAGAUCGAGAUUCCGACCAGACAAUGCCUUACUGAGGUAAGCUAUGGGAUGAUCUUCUUAGCAUAAGACCGCACCUAUACCCAUACUAGAUGCAUCGGUUUCCACUAUUAACUGUUUGGUGAAAUCGGGGAGAGCAAGCACGGGUGUGGUUACGAGUGCUUGCUUGAGCUUGUUGAAUGCAGCAAUGGAGUCUGGUGUCCAAGAGAAAUUGACUUGUUUUAACAUCUCAGUCAAGGGCUUUGCAAUCAAGCCAUAAUGACGUACGAACUUCCGAUAUUAACCCGUGAGACCCAAGAAUCCACGAAGGCCUUUGAGAGACUGCGGUUGAGACCAUUUUGUGAUGGCAUGAACCUUAGAAUUGUCCACGGCUACACCUUGGCCUGAGAUAAAGUGACCCAAAUAGUCAAUCUUAGCUUGCCCGAAGGAACAUUUGCUAAGUUUUAACCUCAAGCUGUGAGUAGACAAAACUUGAAAAACAUUCUCCAAAUGGGAGAGGUGAGUAGCCAAUGAGGGACUAUAGAUAAGGAUAUCAUAAAAAAAAACCAAGACAAACUUACGUAAGUAUGGCCGAAAAAUGGAAUUCAUCAAAGCUUGAAAAGUUGAUGGAGCAUUGGAUAAGCCGAAUGGCAUCACCAAGAAUUCGAAAUGGCCGUCGUGUGUUCGAAAUGCGGUUUUUGGGAUAUCCUCAGCACACAUUCGGAUCUGGUGGUAACCUGACCGAAGGUCAAGCUUAGAAAAUAUAGCUGCCCCAUGUAAUUCGUCGAGUAACUCAUCCACAAUUGGUAUUGGGAAACGGUCCUUGAUGGUUGCUGCAUUCAAAGCUCGAUAGUCAAUACAAAGUCGCCAUGAGUCAUCUUUCUUUUUGACAAGGAGAACGGGGGAGGAAAAUGGACUAUUGCUAUUUCGAAUUACUCCCGAUUGUAGGAGUUCCUGCACUUGUUUUUCAAUUUCAGCUUUGUGGGAGUGUGGGUAUCGAUAGGGACGGACCAAAGUAGGUGUAGUGUUGGGGAAGAUUGGAAUUUUAUGGUCUAUGUGGCGUUGGGGUGGGAGGCCCGAAGGUAUGGCAAAAAGAUGGUGGUAUUGUGUUAGGAGGGAAAGAAUGGCUGAUGGGGUAUUUGGUGGAGGAGAGAUAGAGGGUGCUGUAGGUGGGGUUGGUUGGGAAUUGGGAUGGUGGGGUGGGUAAGUGGGUUGCAAUGAGUGAUAGGUGCGAAAAGGUGGAGUGGCUUUGACUAAUCCUUGAAGAGUGUGGGUAUGGCCCUGGACAUUGAAUAUCAUAGUUUUAUGUUUGAAGUGCCACCCUAUAAAACCGAGAGACUCCAACCACUCAGACCCCAAGAUAAGUUCAUAGCCAGGUAUGUUCAAAAGGAGGAAUGAACCGUGAAGGGUGUAGCCUUGCAUUUUUACAACCACAUCAUGAACUCGGAGAAAGUAGCAACUCGAGUGUGAGAGGCAGUGGUGAAAUGGACUGGGGCAAUAUGUUCAAUUGGCAGGCCUAGGUGGUGUGCAAUAUUUGUAUGGAGCAAAUUGCAAGCAGCUCUGAAAUCGAUUAAGACCGUAACUGGAAGGGAGUUGAUGGAGCCGUGCAAUCGCAUUGGUUGACCCAUGCUAAGUCCAGGGAGCUGAAAGAGCUCGAGCAUGUGGCAUGGGGGAUCGGGAGGGAGCUCUUCCUCCGAUUGGCAGUCAUGAAUUCAGGAGAUUCAUCCUCAGUGGUAGGAGAAUCAAGCAUCACAAUCAUAGGAACUUUGCAUUUGUGUCCUGGGAUAUGGGGUUCUGUGCAAUGGAAGCAUUCGCGUUUGCGGAUUUUUUCUUGAACCUCGGUUGGGGUUAAUCGUUUAAAAGGAGGGGUUUGGGUUUGUGGGGGUUUUGGGGAGGAGAUGGCAGGGAUGGAGGUGGGGUUGGAUGGUUUGGGAAAGUUAUGGGAAAGGUAUGGCCGUGAGUAAUUUGGGCGAGAAGUUCUUUUGGAGUGAUUUUUGGUUUCAAAAAUUUUGGCCAAUUUUUGAGCUUGGUGUAAGGACAUCAUGUCGAAUAUCCUCUUUCAGUCCCCCUAAGAAAACAUGUUUGAGCUGAUUUUCUGUCCAAUCAAUUACCCUACAGGAGAGUUUAGUAAACUCUGCUAUAUAGUCAUCCACAGUGCCAAUUUGUUGUAUAUGGGUGAGCUGGGAUUCAAUAUUUGCUCGAUCACCCCCACCAAAAUGUUGAAGCAACAAGUUAACAAAUAAACCCCAAUUAUCUCUGCCGUGCCUUUGUUCAAAACCGCUCAUCCAAAUAGAGGCAUAUGCACCAAAAUUACAAGCUGCAACAAGGACCCAUUAUUGAGAGGGGACCUUGUAAUAGUCGAGAUAUUGUUCCGCCAUGGCCAACCACCCGUAAGGGUCUUCCCCAGUGAAACGCGGGAGUUCUAUUUUGAUGGGUUUGAAGUUGUGGGAAGG